UGGGCCGUCGAGCGGACCUUGCGGGGGUGGCCGUCGUCACAGUCCGAGGAGGCAGCCUCGUGGUAGGCAGCGGCAUGGCCGCCGUCGUGGAAGCAGGAGAAGAGGAGGGACGGGGAGGAUGAUCUGAGCUUGUGAUGGAAGAGCAUUUCGACGGCGAGAGCGAUGGGACUCGGAUUCUUGGUCUGGUCUGUGCAAGGCCGUGAAGAGAGCGGAGAGAGUGGAUGGAGAUGAGGAAGAAGAUGGAGAAGAGGAUAAGGUUGGAGGGUUUAUUUAUAGGUCGGGCGGAUGAGGACGGAGGCGUGCGGCGGCUGAGCAGAGUGGCGUGGUGGUGGGGGCGGUGGGGGUGGGAGUCAGGAGUCAGGAUGAGGAGGAAAGCCGCGGCUGCUUCGUGGGGUGGACGUGGAAAGCGGUUUUUUUUGGGUUAAUCCCGCGUAAGGUGUCGAUCUUUACUUUUUCUUCACUAUAAUUUUGGCAGUUUGGUAAUUACGCAAAAGACAAAGGGACCACGUAGCUGCUGCCUUUUUAUUUUUUAUUAUUUUUAAGAUCUCUCUUUUGUUUUACAAAAGUGGAAAUUUAAAUGACUCUUUUAUGGGUUCCAUCAUACGACCAUAUAUAUAUAGAUUGAGAGAGUAAACUGCAAGAUCGGAAUCGGGAGUUCAAAGCUGUGAAAAAUUAAUAUCCUGAAAAAUAUUUUCCUAACUUUAAUUGUUGUUAAUCGGUUAUAAAAAUAAUUAAUGAAAUGAAUUAACGAUUUAUAUCUAAACAUUUUUAUUGAUGAUGAGAAUAUUUUUUAUUAUCACUUUUCUUAGUGAUGUAAAAAAUUAAAAUUAGGAAAAUAUUUUUCAAAUUAUUAGUUUUUUUUUUUUGUGAAAAAAAAAAUGGAGUUUGGUCUUUUGAAGCAGCUACGGUGUGGGAAAGAUGAUUUAUAUGAAGACGGAGAAUCCAUACGCUUGGGAAUGUGAUGGAGACAAUUAGAUUGAGAAAGAAAAUCAACAAUUUUUAUUUUCAUUCAAUGUCUUGUAAAAUACUAACUUUGAGUCAUGUCAUGCAGUUCCUUUUGAGCGGAUAUGUGAUGUUUAAACCAGUUUGUUGGUAUGUUGAUGCAUCCCUUAAACAUAUGUUGAUGCACAAAUUGAUCCCAAGCUCAAGAAAGUGUGUUGCCUACAUUAUUUAACACACAUAGAAAAAUCAUUCAAUCAAUAAUUCAAACUGGGUUGCUUUGAUAAAAUUCUAUUUUCUUGUUAAAAAAUAAAUAGUCCAUUAUAUCUCAAGAUGAUAUGUGAAAGACUCAAAAUAAAGUAAAUCUCAACAACAAAACAGUAAAGCACAAAUAAUAGCAGUGCGUACACUAUCAUUCCAUAAAAAUGAAUAUAUGUCGAGCGUCGAAACAAAAUGAACAACGGCUAAUAUUUGAAGUCGGUAAGAACAAAUCAUUUUAUUCCCUACAUACCCUUACUGAUCUCCACUCAUCUCUUCAUGUGACACUAAGCUCUUCUUCCAAUGGUAGUUUCAUAGAUCUCCAAGCUGGUUUUCCCACAUACCUAGAAUUUGCUUUCUCUCUCUCUAGUUAUAAUAACCGAGAUGUCCCGUGGUGCAUGAACAAAAUGGGGGACGAUGAAUGUUCCCUAAUGCCCAGUAGCUACGGCAUAAUAUUCACUAAUUAAAAACGAUGGGGGCAGCCAUGCGUCGUGCUUGGUUUGGAUUUUAGUCAUUUACGAUCCGAGCGCCUCCUGUGACUCCUGGGUUCGUGCACUUCUCAAAGUGCGAAUCCACAUAUGAGAGCAUUCCACGUUAGUGGAGAUUGGAGUGAGCAUCCGAAGGAAAAUGGGUUCAUGCACCCAGCCAUCGGUUGCCCGCCGCCCGAUGUUUCCUCGCCCGACAUUUUGGUAUAGAUAAAUAGGCGAAACGUGGUGUUUUGUCUCUAGGGGUGUAUUCAAGUCGGGUCAGUCGACACGAUGAUUUUGAGAGCUCGGUUUGACUUGAUCUUUAAGUGUUUGAUGCUUGAAACUCUACUUGAGCUUGAUCGAGUAUUAAGAUUGAUGCUCAAGUUUAAUUUGACUGGAAAAAUCGAGAUACUAAAGCUUGGGUAAAUAAGUAGUAAACUUCACUUUUAUAAAUCAAAUAUGAUUACCAAAAGAGUCUAACUAUAUAACUAAUAGUUCAAUGAAAUAAGAUAUCUUUUUAGACAAAGCACGCUUUUCAAAUGCACAAAAGAAGUCAAUUUUCAGAUUAAGUCGAAUAUAUAUAAUAAUUAAGGGAUCCAAAGUCAUUUCUCAUGUCAUAGGCUAUGGUCACUUUUCGCCGAUGACAUAAAAACCUAAAAAUUGUAUUAAUUAUGAAUAUAACUUAUUCAUAUAAUAAUUCAGCCAAUCAUAUCAUAUAGAAAUAGAUUUAUAAUCCAUUUUAAUUAAUACCCGGCCAUGCAUAGUCCACUGUCCCCUAUCCACAAGAAAAGGAAGCUGCAUCCACGUUAUCCAUAAAGUAAAUUCAUUCAUCCCCAACAUAAUUUACUUCUUGUUGGCUCCCAUUUCAUUGACGCAACACCAAUCAGCAAAAAUGCUCGAAUAUGGCACGCUCCAGACAAAAAGUGAAAGCAAAAUGGAGAUGAAGAUGACAUAUCAACGCAGAUUUUCCAUAAAUUUGAUAUUUCAAAAUCUACAAUAUGUACAGUAAGACACUGUGGACCUAAUAGCCAAACUUGUCGAUCAAAAUCAAAAGAACUAGAGAAGAAAACUUCAGCUUGUGAAUGCUAGUAUAAACACCUAGAGGGGGUGAAUAGGUGUAAAAACCAAUUUUCGAGAUAAGUGUGCAGCACUAUUCAAUAAGGCUGCGUUUGGUCGUCCGGAUUUCUAAACGGGAUAGAACUGGAUAGGAUAGGAUAAGAAAUCUUCAUAUCUCAUCAACUGUUUGGUGAACUAUGGAUUUAAAGUCGGAUAUCCGCAUAUCCUAUCCAAUCUACUGUUUGGUGAACUACGGAUUUAAAAUCGGAUAUCCUCAAAUCUUAUCAAAUCUAUCGUUUGGUGAACUAUGGAUUUAUAUUCGGAUAUUUUAAAAACAAUAACAUUAGGCAAGUACAAAUUUGUAGGUUUAAUAUUCACAAAAUCAUCCAAAACAAUAUAUCGUUUUCAAAUUAACAGAUUCUCAUUGAAUUUCAUGAUUACGCAUCGUAAUAAUCUUUUCAAUUCCUUUGAAAUAAUCUUUUGGAUACCCCUUAAACAUCAAACGUUUUUAGAAUAACCUCAACUUCAAUAUAUUCACUUUGAAACAUGAAUUCUUUUGUCUCUCUUACAAGUUUUUCAUUUGUUUCCAUUUUGUUACAGGUCCAAUACCAAAUCAAACCAAUGCCCAAUUAGAACAAAGCAUAAAGUCCAAAGUUCAUUCACUUUUUUUCCUAGCUGUCACGAGGAUGCAAUGGCAAUUAAUCAUGUUAAUGAACAAUCUCUGAAAAUUUAAUGAUAGAGACAGCAUAGUACUUCAAAUUUAAAAUGAUAAAGUCAUAAUUCAAAUAUAAUAUAGGAAAUAUAUGUCUCAAUAAUGACAAACCAGCACCAUAUUACAUAUGUCUAAUAGAAAUGGAAAAAAAAAUCUUAUAAUGCAAGUCUUGCAACAAUGGAAAACAAAUGAUUUUUUUAAAAUAAUAUAAAAUCAUACAACUCCUCCAUGUCCUCGACUUGCAUUCCAUUCAUUAAACAUUUGUACUGCCAAAUUUUGCCUCCAUGUUGCCUAAUGAUCUGACGGCUCAACAACAUCGAUUGUUUCCACAUCUUCAAUAGUGGUAGCAGCUUCAUCUAACUGUGCCUCGAUUGGAUCAAUAGCCAUUUCUCUUCUUAUCAAGUUGUGCAGAAGGCAACAAGCUAUGAUUAUUCAACCUUGUGUUCUAAUUGGAAAGAUGGACUCCUAAGAAUAGCCCACCGUAACUUAAGUAGACCGAAGCAUCUUUCUAUGACAUUUCUAGCUUGAGAAUGCUUCAAGUUGAAGUACUCCUCGGGUGAAUUUGGUGUACGACCUUUUGUCCACUCAGAUAGAUGAUAUCGAGUACCUCUAUAAGGAGCAAGAAAGCCCUCCCCAUUUGUGUAUCCAACAUCUACAAGAUAAUAAUUACCUAAUAACAAACGAUGAUAUUAUUAGUUGUCUUAGAACCUUUAAAACCUACAAUACAUAGAAUGCAAUAUAUUGAUAUAGGCUUAUCUUACCAACGGGGAUCUUUAAACCAUUGGGUUUAACUAUAGCAUCUCGAAGCACUCUAGAAUCCUCUGUUGAGCCUUCCCAUCCAGGUAAAACAUAAACGAAUCUCAUGUCAAGUGAGCAAACUCCUAAUACAUUGGACGCAAUCUCACCCUUUCUAUUUCGGUACCUCGGUUUAUCAACCUCUGGAACACGUACCCUUAUAAAUGUGCCAUCUAAUGCUCCUAAGCAACCCUAGAAACAUAAAAUUAAUAAAAUAACAUUCUCUUUAAAGUAUUAAAUUAGUCCAUGAAAGAGCAUAACAAACAUAUCUUAAACCACUUCCAUCUCUCGUUGGCACAUUCCUCUGGAACUGGUUCAGGUGAGACAAGAAUCACAUUAUGCAUUCUUAUCACCGCAUUUAAAACUAAGUUAAAAUACCUACUUAUUGUCUCUCUAGACCUCAUAAAUCUGAACUUGAUGACUCGAUUUUUCACGUGAUGGGCAAGUAUAUGUAGAAACAUGGCCAUUUGUUCUUCUAUAGUUACAAGUCCAUCUUCUUUUAACCCACCAAUUGUACGUGCCAACUCGCAUAGUAGAGUAAAUGUACGCCUAUCCAUCCAAAGUUGUUCCACACAAUUCAAGUCAUUGCUUUUAAUGAGGCGGUCAAGGUGAUCUAAACGAGCUUGGACUCUAAUAAAUGUCCGAUCCUUCAAUAUAUGCUUGCGAUAGUGCCUUUCAGCAGCAGUGGACACUACUAGCAUAUACAUCAUACACAAAAGCAACAUUUGGAGGCUCAUUUCCUCUAAUAUAAGAAUGGUGAAAAUUUCCUCUCUAUCAUUGUGAUCCAUUUCUAAUGAGAAAAAAAAACAUUAGACAAGUACAAAUUAAUAGAUCCAGAUAUCUCUUUGGUAAUAAACAAAUAAUAAUCCUAUUGCCUACAUACAAUAUGGUCCCAACAGAUCACACGACCCAUUAAAAAUAGGAACUGACUACAUAUACAUAGGUAACAAUUUGUGCUGAAAACCAAACUCACACCACACAGCAUCAAUCAAACUAGCAUUGGUCUCCACAUCACACAACAGAGGAUGCCUAGCCUUAACUUACACUACUUCGACACCAAUUCAAACCAUAAACCAAAAUCCCGUGACAGCAAAGAUGAAGCCUUUCAACCAAAAUUGAACCCGUAAACCAAAACCCCAGCCACUCUCCAUAUCCCUUUAUAUAUCUAUUCCUAAAUAAAUUUAUAAUGGAACUCCAGCACAUGCUACAUGAAAAGGUCCCAACAUUGAAUCUAUCACAAGCUAAGAGUAAGGAGCAAAAUUUUCGAUCAAUGCUAGAAUGAAGAAAAAUAAGCCAACUUUUAGAAUAAUUUGCAGCACAUGCCCAUUCAAAAUUCCAAUCUAGAUUCAUAAAAAAAAAACCACCCAUAAAUUGUACAUACUUUUAGAAUAAUUUGCAUUAUAUGCACAUUCAAACUAUCAAAUCCAGAUCCAUAAAAAAAAACUACCCAUGGCUUCUACACUCUUCCCCCCCGGCCCACAACACCCAUCCAUCCAAUUUGGUCCAAUUACACAAGAAGGAACGCCACAAUACAAAUUGGUAUUUCAGUCAUUCUGAGCAAGGAUUUCAUCAAACCAAACACUUCAGGGAAAAUCCAGAAUAAGUCAGAAGACAAUCAUACUGUGUUCAUGGUCACUGUUGCUGGGAAAGGGCUUCGUGAAGAUGAAAAUCAAUGGCUCCUGGUCCUAGCUAGCGGAUUUGUCGGAGGGGUUGGUUGCUGGAGUCGCUCGGGACGACCGGGGGACAUUGAUCCUUGGGUUUGCAAAGAAGGUCGUGGUCUCCUCUGCUCUGCACACAAAAAAACUAGCCCUCAAAGAAGCGUCUGUCGCUAGUUGGGCGAGGAAAGGGAGAGAGAAUGAUUAUUUACCCUUGAAAAUUCGUCGCUUUCGUAAAAUUUCGAUGAGAAUCAGAGAGCUAUUGAGGAGAAGGCUUCAACGUCGAUACUUUGGAAACAUAGAGUCAUUUGUGGGUGAAUGACGGAGAAAGAAAAAAAAGCUUAGGGUUUUAUGUUUCGGAUAAAAGAAACCCUAUAUGACCUUAUCCCACCCCCCCUCGGAUUUUUUUUUUCCGGUCUAUAUUCCUUCUAUAUCCGACCUUAUCCUAUCCUAGACAGCUGCCAAACAUGGGAUAUGAUAAAACAUAUCCUAUCCUGGUUUUUAUCCUAUCUCGGUUUUUAUCCGAUCGACCAAACACGGCCUAAUAGAUUAUGAAAAUGAAAUUUGUUUCUUGUCAAUUGAACAAGUUACGAUCAAAGUAAAAGAGUGUAAGGAAGAGAAUUUGAACACAGAGUUUAUAGUGGUUCGGCUUGAUCCAAGCCUACGUCCACUUUUCCGCACUGAUAGCCCACCGGCUGGAUUUCACUAUGAACAAAAGAGUUGUUACAGUAAAGCUCUUCCUUGAUUCCACAAUGUAGAGACUCUACUACACUUCCUCAAGGUCUCUCAAAGAUAUAGACUCUCUUUUGCGUACAAGAUUUCGCUUAACAGUUUGACUAAGAACAAGGAGCUUCAGACUUUGGAAUUUUUUUUAUCGUGCAUACACUCGAACAACUGGAACGUCUUCCUUAUAUACUCAUUUAUGCCAUCAUACCCGUUGGCACUUACCAAAGGAAUUCUUUCAAUCUACCCGUUGGACAGAAUCAAUUAGAAAGAUCUUCGAGCUAUUUAGGGAACAUGACGAUAGCCCAUCAAUCCUGCUCGCCCAUACAAGCAAGAUCUCGGUUUCCAUAAGUAGAACCUUCCAAGUAUACUUCUCCAAUUAACAGAUCCAAAAUCCCUGAAUCAAUCUUGAUUUGAAUAAUGGAUUCCGACAUGCUAUAUCCAGCCAAGAGAUCUUUUCCAGUCGAUAGAGUCAAAUCCUUAACGAAACAUCUAGUUCUGGAUAAGCCUUCUUUGACGGUCUAGAAACUGUCAAUGAGGAUAGACUUUGAGUCUUGAGUUUGACAGUCCGGAGGUCUUCAGACUUUGAUGAAAGAGUCUGCAAGUCUUCAGACUAGACUGAUGGAAACGUUUUGUCAGCUUCAAUAUACUCAAGGAAGUUUUCUUCAACAAUCUCCCCUUUUUUGAUGGUGACAAAACUUUCCUGUAGAUUUGGAUAACUUUGACCUGCAAAACAUUACUCAAGCAAAUAUGGAUAUCUCACAAAGAUAAAUGGCUUAGUAAAAAUAACACUAGAGUCUGCAUCCACAGAAUGUAUGUUAGUCUUGUAGAUGAACAAAGCCAUGAGAUAUCAAUAGUACUUAAGAUAAAUAAAUGUUCAAACAGUCAAAUCCAAAUCCAGUUCAAAUCCAAAUAGUCAAACACAAAAGUCAAGUGAAUUAAAUAUAAUUGACACAAAAGUUAAAAAAGUUCAAAUCAAAUCUGCACCACAUCUCUCCCCCUUUUUGUCAUCAUUAAAAAGGUAGAGAUGAAAAGAGAAUGGAAUUAAGAAUGCUUGUGAACACGAACAAGUUGGAAAUCUCCCAUUGAUUGGACAAUCCCAUCUAGCUUUUUCAAAUCCUCCUUCAGUUGCGCCACAUCUUCACCCUUUGCAUUUGCUUGAACUUGAAGAUCAAGGGCUUGGAUUUGAUUAUUCAAAGAAACCGAAGAAGCUUUUCUUGCAUUCUGCAAGUUCUAUACUUCGCAUCCCAGAGCAUAUAUUUGACCCCGCAUCUCUAAGAGAACAUCAAGUAUUCUACGAAAGUCUGCUGAAUUAUUAGUUUGAGUACUUGCUUCUGCACAAUCAGAUGGUGUAUAGGCAGAUGAUGGCAAAUCAGCAUGGUCACGCAGAUUGGGCGAUGAAACAUCAUGUCCCUCCUCAGGAAAUUGAGAUGCAUAGAUGUCCUAUGGAUCUGUUGGAGAACGACUUAUUCCUUCACUGUUUGCAGGGAAUGAGGAUGUUCCUCUUUUCUCAGGAUCUCCCCCUGUUUCCAUGCCUUCAGGUGGAGAAAAGUGUUCCUCAUGCUCUGCUUCCGCUUGAUCUCCUCUCUCCUCUUCUUCUUAUUCCUCAAUUCUUUCCUCCUUUGCAUCUCUUUCCUCUGCUUCUCUCUCUUCUCUCUCUUCUGCUUCUCUCUCUCCAGUCCUCUGUUAUGUUUCAUCCAUUUCUUUUUCCUGUCUCUCCGUUGAUUUUGGAGCAGAACGACUCAAGUUCUUCAAUGCCAUUGCAGAAAUGGUGAUAUCAUCCUCAUCCUCUUCAUCCUCAAUGAUGAGAGCUCUUCUUUUCUUGGAUGGAGCAACCAUGGGCUCCUUCCCUUUCCUCUUUGCAGCCGAAGAGAUUUGAUGAGUCUUGACAGGGGUUUUCUCCUUGAAUUGCUCCAACGCCUUGUUGAGUUCCUUCAGAUGCAUUUUAGAGACCAUUUUUAGUCCUACCACCAUUUGAUCGCACAUUCGAACACAGAGAAUUCGGGGAGGCUGAACAUUCAGAUGUCUGAAUAACUUGGUCAUAAGAGCUGCGUACGGGAGUUGACCCUUGUCCUUCACCACUGCCCUGUACAUGUGGAACAUAAUAGUGUUUGGAAGAGAAAACUUUUUCCUAGCAUUGAUGGCAUACAUCGGCUUUGCCUCCGAGUUUGAAACAUCGGUCUUUGAAGUUGAUUUUGGUCUGAGGUAGUUAAUCAAAAUCUUGUGAAGCAUAAUGUUGAACGCAUUCAUCCUCAAAUAGGAAAUCUUUCCCUCUGUCCUUCUAUCCUUAACAAGUUCCAACGUUGCACGAGCAAUAGACACACUAAUAGGUUGAUAUCUCACUCUUUCAACCCCAAUCACAUCAGCUAAUGUAUUCAUGUCAACCACAUAGUCCUGAUCUCGAACACUAAAAGAGAAUCUAUUUGCAUCUAAGAAACUAAGAUUUGAAUAGAAAUAAGUAGUAAGUUCAGCAUAAGCUUAUGUACUUUCAGAACAAAACUGUUCGAGUUGAAGAAGACUGAAUUUUUCCCACAAAUUGACACUCACAAAGUCAAGAAAGUCAAAGUCCACACUUCUAAGGUUUAUCACCCCACGCUUCAGCAACUUAGAGUACAGUUGCUUGUGUUCCUCCGAUUGAAACAAAUCUAUCCUUUUGCUUCAGAUUUUUGCCGUAACACCCAUUCUCGGUUUAAACCGACUGAACAUCCUAUCAUCGUCAUUUCCAUCUGGCUGAAUCAGCCCUCCAAUGCAUGGAUUGCUUGGGAUAUUUGCCAAAGCCUCUUCUGCCGACCCAGCAGGGGCAAUUCCCAAUCGUUCCAUUGUGCGUAAAAAGAAAGUUUCAUUUUUGUACCUGUCUUUAAGAAAUUCAUCAAUGUAGUUCAAAGGAGUAGCACCCCUCUUCAAAGCACAAUAAAGCUUGUAGGUAAAAACAGGCUUAAGAGUUCUUACGGGUUCUACAUCUUCGAUGAUUUCUUUCUCUUCUCGAUGUGCAACAUCCUGAGGUUUAGAUGGAUGAGAUAGGCGCUGCUGAGAAUAUUGUGGGCUCUGCCGCUGUCCAGAAGAUUCUUCUUCCUUGGUGAGAUCAAAGUGCGUAGGCCCCUCAUGCAUUUGCUGUGGUCCCUGUUUGCAAUUCUUGAAGACUUUCUUUGGGACGACAUCUUUCACAGUCUUUGAGAGAUUCCAAGCUUGUUUUCCAAGAAAGAUGACAACUUUUCGAGGAUUAAACAAGAGAAAAAGACAGAAGUGGAAGAUCGGUGCUCUCUUAGGGUUUUUGUGAGUAAAACGAAGAGGAAUUGAUAGUAUAUAAGGUAGUCGAAACGAGGCAUACGAAACGCCGUAAAAAUGAAAUAAAAGAUGCCCUUUUUUUUAAAAAAAAAUAACUGCCUUUCAAAAUUAUAUAACUGUCAUUUCAAAAAUAAUUUUUUUAAAAGGAAAAAUUGCAAUAAUCACGGAAAUUGAAAAUAGCAACAAUCAAUUACGGGUUGAUGACCGUACCUUUUCGGGAUUUGAUUCGAGAGACAAUUUUCUAAAAUAAAAUUAACUCAUAGUUGAGAAUCUUGAUCGUUUGAGUCUGAGUGUCUUUAGACUUUCAAUCCUGGUUCUGAACUUCCUCAGACUUUAAGAUAUUAAGUCUGGAACGACUAAUUUCAAAUUGAUUUUUCUCCAAAGGCUUUGUAAAUUUAUCUGCCAGUUGAUUCUUUGAGUCAAUAAACUGAAUCGAAACGACUCCAAUUUGAACAUGAUCUCUAAUGAAGUGAUGUCGAAUCUCUAUAUAUUUUGCUCUUGAGUGAAGAAUCGGAUUCUUGGUGAGAUUGAUUGCGCUGGUGUUGUCACAUUUCAUUUCAGUGUAUGAAUCUUCGAUUCCAAAGUCUCUUAACUGUUGUUUUAUCUACAGAAUUUGUGAACAACAACUUCCAAGAGCUACAUACUCUGCUUCUGCUGUAGAAAGAGCUACUGUACUUUGCUUCCUUGAAAACCAAGAUACCGUUAUGCUUCCAAGUAGUUGACAGGUGCUCGAGGUGCUCUUUCUAUCAACUCUGCAUCUGGCUAAGUCUGCGUCUGAGUAUCUAAGAAGAGUAAAGUCUCCUUCUUUGGGAUACCAGAGACCAAAGUUUGAAGUUGAGGCAAUGUAUUUGAUAAUACGCUUUGCAGCACUUAGAUGAGAUUCUUUAGGGUCUGUGGUAGGUUAGAAACGUUUCCAUCCUGGAAUCUUUGGAUGUCUUUAGGCUCUAAACUAAAGGGCUAAGUGAUUUUCUGCUAAAAGGCUGUCCCUGAAGGGCUUGAACGAGAGUUGUUCGCCCACUGUGGGAUGCAUACUUGUAGGAAAUUUACUCUCCUUCCUUGGUUCUAAGCCUAGGUCCAUUCAUGGUAUCAGAGCGAAUGGUUUCGUUUGUAAUGUUAUCCAUUCCAUGCGCUUGGUAGGUGAAUCCAGUGUUGAGAAGAUCUCCUUACAUCAUGUCUACAGAACCAGAAAUUCUCAAAGCACCCGUUUCCCUUGCUCCUUCUCCUUCAUCUUCAACUCCCCCAGAAUUUCGUGUUUCCAAUGCCUCUAAGAUAGAUUAUCUUUAUGAAGUCUCUCUUAGUGAUGAAACCAAGAUUUCUGAAACUCAACUUCCUCUCAUGAACCCUUACUCCGCUUUUGCCAAUCUUAACUCAUCAUUCUCACAUAUCCGCUCCAUCCGCCAACUUAUUCACCAAACCCCAAAGCAAGUAAAGGAGUAUGUCAAAUCCUCCAAAUUCGAUCAGUAUCCCAUUCCUGCCACUGAAAAAGAGUAUUUUAUUACUCUUCAAAUCCCUCCAGAGUUCCCCAGACAAUGGGCUCAAUAGGGAUAUACUCAUGUCCAUUAUGGAGUUGUUCGUCUUGCUCUUACCUUUCAUGGUCGUAAAGGUUUGUCAGUUGUGGCAAGAAUAGCAUUGUUGGAUACCAGGUUUUUACAAUACCAGCAUGCUUGCAUCGGUAUUGUCCAAACUACUUUGAAUGCUGGAAUAGUCUUUGUGACUUUGUAUCCAAAUUCCAACAUUGCUCUUUCAGACCCCCAACUACUCUCUUUUCUAAAAGUCCAAGUCCAGCUCACUGGAGCUCCUCAAACUGCUGAAUCUGUAGCUGCAACUCUACAUUACCAGAUGGUUUAUCGAGUGCAGAACCAUGCACUUGACCUCAACUUCAACAAUGGUAAUGAAUAUGCUUUGUUCAUCUCUAUGUAGAAUGACCAGGCAUCCUGUAUCCAUGUUCCCAGACAGAUCCCGAAGGAUACAUUGGCCAAGCUCCUUCCAGAGACCUAGAUCACCAACUACGAAAAGCUACACCAGCAUAACAAGCCUUUCCAGUCUACGAACUCAGAGUUCGUACGAAAAAAAGAUGGAACUGUUUCCAUCAAAUUUGGCAAGGAAAAUGAAGAAAGCCCUUCUAUCUUCCAGACCCUCUUCAUGAUUGAACCAUGUGUUCCUCAAUCAAUUUCCGAGCCAGAUCCAAAAAAGCUUGUUAGACACUUUAAUGGUGAUGGACAUCCUGUCCAUUACUACAAAGACAACCAUGAUCAUUGUUUUUGGGAUCCUUUUUGCCAAUGUUCCUAUUGUACAAAAUCUCCCGACGAGGUAGAUCCUUUUGCAAAAUCUCCACCUCGAAGGAAAAGGCCAAAGGAUAAGGUGUACCAAAAAUACUUAAACGGAGAUCCAUCCAUUGAUACUCUUGGUGAGUGUGAUAAAUACCAGUUCAUGGUUUCCUAUGCACCACCUCAACCACCAAAGUACAGUGCUACAUCCCAAGCCUUACCAGAUCCACCAAAAUCACCCCCACCAUCUCCUCCUCAGAAAAAACAAGCUCUCUCUCCGUUUUAUAAGCCAACCCUAAAAUGGGCUAAGAAGCAUUCUUACCCACUUGAAGCCCCAGCGGAAAUACUACCCACUUCUUCCAUUGCCAUGUUCCAUGAUGCUGAUUUUCCCCCUCUCGUCAGAGAAAAUUCUAAACUAUCAUUUCCUGCUCCCGAGGAAUUCAUUGACCCACAAAACAGAUAUCGUCAUGCUCCAAAGAUAGCAACCCCUACUGAUGUGGAUGAACAUGAGAGACAGAGAAAGACUCCUGCUGCUGAAGCUGUUCUAAAUUGGCAAUCAGAGACUCUGUUGGCACAAAACAAUGCCUUUAAGGCAAUUGAUUCCAAAAUUGGAAAUGUGCAACAAGAUCUUCAAGGUAUGAUGAAAGCACCAAAAAGAUACUUUCUGAGUUCCAGAAAAGGCUUCAUGCCUUGGAAUCAGGAUAGUAUCUUGGGUAUCAUUAUCUUGAAAGUCCAAAGCCAGAAAUAGAAAAGCUCAAGAGGCAAAUCCAACUUCUUGAAGAAGGAAGGUUUAGACCUUUCGAUCCAUUGGCACCUUAUGUUAGAACUGGGUAUUUACCUCCACCGCCACAGACAUCUAUUUUUGCCACUAUUCCAGAAGAUCCCUGCAGAAGAGAACCCGACAUGGCAGAAAUACGAAAUCGUCUCAAGGCCCUACAGAAGGACAACGGAAAAGAAAAAAAUGCCGCCUACAGAAUCAAGUUCGAUUGUUAUAAGAGAAAGAUCAGAACAUAUGAUGUUAUCCAACCCAUUAGAAUCCUUUCUAAAGGAUUUGGGUACUCAGGAACCUGAACCUGCUACUCAACAACCUGAUCUUGUCAUUCCAGAAAAGUAGAUCCUAUUCCCAGUUGAGCAUACUACUCCUGAGACUGAAUCAGAUUCAGUAUCUCUUUCCUCUUCUUCAUCUUUCUCCAUUCCUACAGUUGAUUCUCUCCUUAUUGCCCCAGUAACUUCAUCAGUAUUCAUGGAUGAUCCUUCUGAUGAUGAAAUGGAAUCAGACUAUUAUGAGCCAGAAAAUGUUCAGACAAACAAUUAUGCUCAGCAUGUGUCCAUAGCAUCAAAACAGUUCUUCAUUAUCGAUGAUAUUUCUUAUCAUAAAUGGCCACAAAGACUUGAAGACUUUCAUACUUGGUUGAAUACUCAGUCCAUUACCAACCAUGAUAUGAAUGAUGUCCUUUACAACUUUGUUACAAGGUUCAUGGGCAGCCUCAAACUUUGGUGGCAAUCAAUUUUUGAACAGGACCAGAUUCAUUUCCUGAUGUCACCAAAUUUCGGCCAUGCCAUCACUCUCUUAUACCAUGUCUUUGUGGGAAAACCCACUGAUCUCAUAGAGAUGAAAAGAAGAGAAUUUUUCGAAAGAAAAUGCUGCUCCCUCUAGAAGAAGCAUCUUGAUAAGCAUUAUCGAGUGAUGCUUCAGCUUUUUUACCAAAUUGGCGCAUAUCCAAAUUUAAAGCAUGUUUUCCUUACUUCCAUCCCUAAGGAACUAUCCCAGAUGGUUGAAAGAUCUUUCUUUGGAAAACAAAGGAGAGUACAAGAUAUUCCCUUGGUAGAAAUACAGCAAGAAGUCCAUCUAUGCCUAGAAGAAUUAUGCUUAAAGCGCUAGAUGGUCCGUACAUACAUCAAAGAUGACAAACGCCUUGAAUCAGCUUGCUCUCGCCAGAAAUUAAAAAUCAAAUGUUCUAAGCAAGACUGUGAUGGUACUUGUGGCAAGUACUCUUGGAAAAAGAAACAUUACAAGAAGUUUUGGAUAAACAAAUCCAAACAUGGUUCCAAGCAUUUCUGGAAAAAGAAGAAAUGACGAUACCUAUGCAAAAGGAAGGAUCGCACAUGCCACAAGAAAUCAAACCGUUGCUACAUCUGCAACCAAAAAGGACAUUUUGCCAAAAAUUGUCCUCAAGCAAGAAAAUGCCAGAAUCGUCUAAUUCAUCACAUUAAGAAUGAAACAGGUAUUUCUUUUGAAAAUGAUGAUAUUGAAUCCCUAUUCUCUGCUGACGAAGAACCAUCUGAACAAACUCUUUGUGUCAUUUCCUCUUACCAAACUUCCAGUGAGACUGAGUUAGACUCAGAAUUUGAAGAUAUUUUUCAUAUAUCAUCCUCAUCCCUAGAACCUAACUUUGACAUAUUUUCAAGUCAAACUCAUUGUCCCAAUUUCCCUAUAAAAAUCCUCACUUCAAAGUUUGCCAAACCCAUCACUGUUAUCGCCCUCAUUGACACAGGAGCAAGUUGUUCAAUAUUGGACACUAAAGUUUUCUUGAAGAAUUCUGGACUCCUUACAUCCGAUAUUUCAAUUAUGCCUUAGGAGAUACUUUCUCCACAAAUGUCAGAACCACUCCCGUAACAGUCCAGUUCUUCCCUCAGUGUUCUAUAACCACAAAAAUCUUUGGAUCAAGCCUCCCCAAUAAAGACCUGAUAAUUGGGUGGGAUAUCAUGACUCAAAUCUCUCAACUCCGUAUCAUUCCUAGAAAAAGGUCUUAGAUAUAAAGACCAAUUCUCUGAGUUCGUCAAUAUUCAGAGACUCUUUUCCAUUCAGAUGAGUCUAUUAGAUCCAAUCAUGCAAAAGUUGUUAGAAUCUUGUUCAGAAUCCCAUUUAGAAUUCGCCCAGAAAUGUUCCCAUCCUUUAUGGAAAAAUCCAGAAUUCUUUGUUCGAUUUCCCUUCAAGAAGAAUGAAGAUAUAAAUCCAACUAAGGCAGCCACAUGGGAAUGAAACCAGAACAUUUGGCGUUAGCUCAAAGGGAAUGCUCAGAAUUAUUGCAACAAGGCCUUAUUGAAAUCUCUGAUUCUCAAUGGGCCUGCGAAGCCUUUUAUGUCAAUAAGUGUGCUAAGCAAAACAGGGGAAAAAUGAGUUUGGUAAUCAACUAUCAACCUCUUAACCUUUUUCUCUAAGAUGAUAAAUUCCCUUUACCAUCCAGAGACUCUCUUUUUACUAGUCUAACCAAGGCCCAUAUCUAUUCCAAAUUCGACCUCAAAGCUGGAUUUUGGCAAUUGGGCAUACAUCCUGAAGACAAAACUAAGAUAGGAUUCUGUAUCCCAAACCAGCACUUCUAGUGGAAAAUACUUCCUUUUGGCUUAAAGGUAGCACCAUCCCUUUUCCAAAAGGCCAUGUGCCGUAUUUUCCAACCAAUCAUGUCAAAUGCAGCCGUGUACAUUGAUGACAUUCUGCUCUACAGUCCUGACGAGCAGUCACAUUGCCAACUCCUUGAGCAAUUCGCAGAAAUCGUCAAAAAGCAUGGCAUUAUGCUUUCUCAAAGGAAAAUGAAUAUUGCCCAAAAAGAGAUUGAAUUUCUUGGUAUGCACCUCAACAAAGGUAUGUACUACCCAGGGCCACAUAUUGCUCAAGAAUUAUUGAAGUUUCCUGAAGAUAACUUCACUACAAAACAAGUUCAGCAAUUUCUUGGGAUAAUCAAUUAUCUUAGGGAUUUUUCCCAAACAUUGCAAAGCUCCUGAUUCCUUUGCAAUCCAUGCUAAAGAAGAAUCCCCCACCUUGGGGAAAAACCCAGACUAAAGCAGUUGCUGAGCUUAAGGAGAUUAUGCAGAAUCUCCCACAAUUGCAAAUACCAUCAACAGGAAAAAUAAUUCUUCAAACUGACGCCAGUGAUGAAUACUGGGCAGCCAUCCUGUUCGAAGAAAUUGAUGGUAAGAGACACCUUUGUGCUCAUAAAAGUGGAAAGUUUUCUCCAGCUGAAAUGCAUUAUCUUUCCACUUUUAAAGAAAUCUUAGCAGUAAAGAAUGGAAUAAAAAAGUUUGAGUUUCAUCUCAUCGGCCAUCACUUCCUAGUAGAAUUAGACAUGGCAUCUUUCCCUCAGAUAACUAAGUUUAAACAGAAGCAGAUUCCAAAUUCCCAACUACUUCGAUGGGUUGAAUGGUUCUCAAAAUACUCCUUUGAAACCAAACAUAUUCCUGGAAAGAAGAAUGUGCUUGCUGACUUCUUAUCAAGACCAAAAGCACCAGCCGAAAUCAACAUGUACAUCAAGAGGCCUGCUUUCCAUAUGCUCAAUCAUGGAGUGAAAUACAAGAUUGAGAAGAUCAAAGAUUUGCAAAGAUGGAAAUAUCCCCAGGAGAUUAUUCAGCAAAUCCAGAAUGACAGCCUCAUUGAGAACUUGGAGAAUCUCAUGUGGUAAUGCCACACAGAUCUAUUCAGAUUCAAUGGAGGUUCGAUUCUUUAUCCUUUUGGGUUAAAUAUGAAUUAUCCAUUCAUUCAUCCUCUUAUUUGGAAGGAAGAUGAUUUUCCUGAACAGCUCAAGACGUUAUUGUGGUACUUAACCAAUAAAUACUUGAUAGCCAUUGAAAUUCCAACCAGAAGGUUCAUUGCCAACCUCACCAGGAUAUUCUUACUUGGAAGAAAUGUUGAAAAAGAAAGUGAUAAGAAUCUCUUAGACUUUUUUAACUGGUUCUAUUCUCCUACUUACUGGAAACAACUCUUGGAAAAGGAACUGAGAACCAUGACACUGAAUCCUAAAGUCCAUACCAUCCUAUUUUUCAGACGUCCAUGGCAUUUUUUCACAAAUAAUGGAAGAAUCAUUGACGUCCCACAGGAAAUAGGAACCACAUCCUAUAAACCUCACUUGGACAGCCGAGAAGCUCAGAUUCACAAAUCUUAUCCAAGAUCUGUUAGAUUUUGUGAACACGAAUACCGAAAACUUCAGAGAAUCCUGUGCUAGGAAAAAAAACCAUUCCCGAAGAUGUUUGGAAUAAUGCACCCACUACGUAGGAUCAUUAUGACCUAGCACCAGAAGCUAAGGAAGCACUCGGACAAUACAGACAAGCUGCAUCGUCCCAAGGGCAUGAAAUGACAAGCGAAGAUGACAUUGUCAAAUCCACCUAGGACCCCUAUGCACGCUUUGGAGGUCCUCUGUCCCAGGAUCCCUACGAAUAGGGACCUUCGUCCUUAUUUCAAAGCAUGAACACAUCUUUCUAUGCACAACCAUCCAAUCGGCCUCAGCCAAGAAUUUCUGCCGACACUCAAGAAAAUGAAAACACAAACUGGGUUGAAGAAGAAGCAUCACAUUGGGCUCAUGAAGAAGCAUCAUCAUCACGAAGGCUGAACCAAAUCCUUUCACUUGAAGACCUUGAAGCCCUUGAACAGAAAUACGAAGCACAUCUCCUAUAAGACAGCUAAGAUAAUUUAGUCUGUAGCUACAAUGCUCGAAACGGACGAGACCGUUGAAGUCAGUACAUUUUCACUGUAGCAAGUCACUGUUCACUUUUACUGUAGCAUUAGGCUAGGGAAGGUACUCUUCAUAGUACAAUUACUAUUCAUAGUGUGCGAAUAAUUCCCUCCUGGAAGUUUCCGGUGCCUUUGUUUGUAUCUGGACUCGUGAGCUAGGUCCUUGUUUGUUGCUUUGUGACCUCUAAUCAUCUAUAAAGGGCAAGGAAGGUGUAUUGUGUUGGGCAGAGUCCCUUGAAGUAAAGUGUGUGCAUUGUGAAAAACCUCUCAAUGGCUUUCUAAAUUUCUCUUCUUCUCGAGCCCGGUAGGAUCCUCCAAGAAAUGUAGCUUGGGUAGGUUAGAAAUGUUUCCAUCCUGGAAUCUUUGGAUGUCUCUAAGCUCUAAACUAAAGGGCUGAGUGAUUUUUUGCUAAAAGGCUGUCCCUGAAGGGCUUGAACGGGAGUUGUUCGCCCACUGUGGGAUGCAUACCUGCAGGAAAUUUACUCUCCUUCCCUGGUUCUAAGCCUAGGUCCAUUUAAACACUAAACAAAAUGUCUUGUCUAGAAGCAGUAAGAUAAAGAAGUGAACCAAUGAUACUCUUGUAUAGCUUCUGGUCAACUUUAUUUCCUCCUUCAUCUUUGUCCAACUUCAAGGAACUUGACAUUGGUAUAUCAGUCUUUUUGCAAUUCUCCAGCCCAAACUUUUUGACAAGAUCAUUGGCAUAUUUUUCUUGAUGAAUAAAAGUUCAUUCCUUUAGUUGUUUCACUUGAAGUCCGAGAAAGAAGGUUAAUUCACUCAUCAUGCUCAUUUCAAAUUCAUCCUGCAUAGACUUAGAAAAUUUCUUGCAUAGACUUUCAUUAGAAGAUCCAAAAAUAAUAUCAUCAACAUAAAUUUGAACAGGUAGAAAAUGUUUGCUUUCUCUUUUGAUAAAUAGAGUAGUAUCUACUUUACCUUUGACAAAACCAUUUUGAAUUAAAAACUUGCUUAAUCUGUUGUACCAAGCUCGAGGUACUUGCUUUAAACCAUAUAAAGCCUUUUUCAAUCUGAAUACAGAGUCCGGUUUCCUUGGGUCUUCAAAAUCGGGUGGUUGUUCCACAUAGACUUCCUCUUGGAUAAAUUCGUUUAGAAAAACACUUUUGACGUCCAUUUGGAAUAACCUGAAAUUCUUAUGACAAGCAAAAGCAAGUAAUAAUCUAAUUGCUUUAACCUUGUUACUGGUGCGUAAGUCUCAUCAUAAUCUAUCCCUUCUUUUUGCGUAUAUCCCUUGGCCACGAGUCUUGCUUUGUUUCUUACGACCUUUCCUUUCUCGUUCAUCUUGUUCCUGAAAACCCAUUUAGCUCCAAUGAUAGAUUUACCUUUCAGUUUAGGAGUCAAUUCCCAGACAUCAUUGAUACUGAAUUGCCUAAGUUCUUCUUGCAUAGCUUCAAUCCAGCUUUCAUUAGUUAAAGCUUCUUCUAUGCUCUUGGGUUCUAUUUCAGAAAUAAGAGCCACAUCACUAGACUCUUCGCGCCUUUUGGAUCUUGUGCGAAUUCCUUCAUUAAUAUCACUAAUAAUGAGAUCUUUGGGAUGACUGGACUUAUGCUUCCAGUUGCUGGUUGCUUUGUCAGACUGUUGAUCUUUUUCCUCGUUCGAAUCUUCGACGAUCAUUUGUUGCUGGUCUUCUGAAGUCUGAGUUGCUUCUAAAGAUUUAGACUUUGUAAAGUCUGGAGUAGGUUCGGAUUCUUCAAGUUGAGUCUGAAUCGAUUCAUUUUGCAUAGAGUCUUGAAAUUUGACAUUCAUUGAUUCCUCCACAAAUUGAGUCUUCUUGUUGUAGACUCUGUAAGCUUUGCUUGUGAUAGAAUAUCCAAGGAAAAUUCAUUCAUUUGAUUUUUCUUCAAACUUACCAACUCGAUCAUUUGCAUUUUUCAAUAUAAAACAUUUACAUCCAAACACAUGAAAAUAUGAAACAAUGGGCUUCUUUCCUUUGAAUAACUCGUAGGGAGUUUUCUCCAGAAUAGGCCUUAGAAAAACUCUAUUAAUAAUAUAACAUGCUGUAGAAACAGCUUUAGCCCAAAAACGUGAAGAGAUGUUACUUUCAAUUAAAAGAGUUCUAGUCAUUUCUUGAAGCAACCGAUUCUUUCUUUCCACGACUCCAUUUUGCUCUGGAGUAUAUGGAGAGGAGAACACAUGUUGAAAACUAGAUUCAUCAUAGAGUUUUAUAAAGUCUUGAUUUUCAAAUUCACCUCAAUGGUCUGUCCAUAUACUUGAAAUAACAUAUCCUUUCUCAUUUUGGACCUUUUUAGCAAACUUUUUGAAAUAAGAAAAGGUUUCAGAUUUACUUGCCAGGAAAUAUACCCAAGUGAAUCGGGAAUAAUCGUCCACAAUUACUGGGCAGUAUUUCUUAUCUCAAAUGCUCUGAGUUCUGGUUGGUCCAAAGAGAUCCAUAUGCAAAAGCUGCAGUACACGAUUAGUUGAAACUUGAUUUAUUGGUUUGAAUGAGUUUCUUAAUUUUUUUCCCAACACGCAUGAUGUGCAUAGAUCAGUCUUUUGGUAUGAAAAAUUGGGUAGACUACGAACAAGCUUCUUUGCUGAAAUUUUGGCUAUUUGCUUCAUGUUGAUGUGCCCAAAUUUUCUGUGCCAUAAGUUUGCUUCUUCUUGAAUUGAGAUCAGACAUUGGGCUUCAUCUGAUUUGACAUCCAAGAGGUAAAUAUUUCCAUGUCUUCGACCAGUGAAAGACUGAGAGGAGUCUUUACUGGUUCCUCAACAUAUUCCUUCUUGAAAGUUGAUUUUGAAACCAGUGUCGCACAGCUGACUGAUACUUAACAAAUUGUAAUUGAGUCCUUCCACUAAGGAAACAUUACUGAUCGUGAGACUUCCAAUCUUUACAGUUACGUAUCCCACAAUUUUUCCUUUGCUGUUUCCUCUAAAUAAAACUUUUCCACCAUUAACUUGGACAAGUUUUAUGAAGCAAUUUGAAUCUACUGUCAUAUGCCUCGAGCAUCAACUAUCCAGGUACCAUUUAAUCUUUUUCUUGAUAGUGACCUGCAUUUAGAAAAGGAACUCAUGCUUUCUUUGGUACCCAUAUUUUCUUGGGUCCAUUGGUGUUAGUAUUAUAUACGGUCUUUGCCCAUACUUUCUUAACAUGUUUCCAAACCAUAGGACAUUCUUUCUCAAAAUGAUCUGAACUAUUGCACUUAGAAUAUUUAAGAGCAUUACGAUCUACUGGUUUUACAAAAAAUUUUUGGAAAUGAUUUUUGUAAGUAUCUCUUGUAGGUCUUUGCUUAAUUCUUUCCUUUACUUUAGGAAAAUCAAUUAAAGGGUUGGUUUCUGCAGUCAUUCCCAAACCAGAUUUAUUGAAAUAAGGUCUUUGUGCAGAAGAGUCCCAACCAAUUCAUCUUCAUUAGAUUUUAAUGCAAUGGAUUUUUUUUACCUUUAGGAUCUUCAUCUUCAUUGAUUUGCUUCACUUCAUAAGACUGAAGAUUCCCAACCAAUUCAUCAACAGAGAGUGGCAUGAUUCUUUAUGUCUCCCUUAUUGAGGUCUUUAUGUGAUUCCAAUCCUUGGAGAGUCCACAGAGUAGCUUGUUUACUUUCAUGGGAUCAGAAAUUGGUUGACCUUGAUUUUUAAGACCAUUCAUGAUUUCUGUAAAAUGACUAAACAUGUCAAUGAUAGAUUCUCCUGAUUUCAUUUUGAAUGCUUCGUAUUGACUGAGCAGAAUGUUGAUUCUGGUUUCUUUCACUCGAUCAGUUCCUUCAUAAGUGAUGUGUAAUCUAUCCCAGACUUCUUUAGCUGUAACACAAGAAGAUAUUCUGUUAUAUUCAGUAGGUGAUAAUGCACAAUAUAAAGAAUAAAUUGCUUUUGCAUCAAGAGCUUGUCUCUUGGUUAUCUCUUCAUGAGUCAUUUCGCUAGACUCAAUGGCUUCUUUUCCUCUUUCUAAGAUAUGUGUAGCUUUAUGAAUGAUUCAUUUGUCUACCACAUCUCAUUCCAGAGGAUUCUUUGAUCUUAGAAAUGCCUUCAUCUUGUUUUCCAUAAGUUGUAUUCCUUUCCAUCAAAAUAAGGUGGUAUGGUAGUGCUUUGCCCUUCAACCAGUCCUGGAGCCAACAUACUAGCCAUGGAUCUUUAACUCUGAAAUAAAAUACUUCAACUUAAGUAAGUACACAAGCUCUGAUACCAAUUGUGAAUGCUAGUAUAAACACCUAGAGGGGGGUGAAUAGGUGUAAAAAUAAAUUUUCGAGAUAAGUGUGCAUCACUAUUCAAUAAUAGAUUAUGAAAAGGAAAUUUGUUUCUUGUUAACUGAACAAGUUAUGAUCAAAGCAAAAGAAUGUAGGGAAGAGAAUUUGAACACAGAGUUUAUAGUGGUUCGGUUUGAUCCAAGCCUACGUCCACUCUUCGCAUUGACAGCCCACUGGCUGGAUUUCACUAUGAACAAAAGAGUUGUUACAAUAAGCUCUUCAUUGAUUCCAUAGUGUAGAGACUCUACUACACUUCCUCAAGGUCUCUCAAAGAUAUAGACUCUCUUUUGCGUACAAGAUUUCGCUUAACAGUUUGACUAAGAACAGGGAGCUUCAGACUUUGGAAUUUUUUUAUCGUGCACACACUCAAACAACUGGAACGUCUUCCUUAUAUACUCCUUUAUGCCAUCAUACCCGUUGCACUUACCAAAGGAAUUCUUCCAAUCUACCCAUUGGACAAAAUCAAUUAGGAAGAUCUUCGAGCUAUUUAAGGAACAUUACGAUAGCCCAUCAAUCCUGCUCGUCCAUACAAUUAGGAUCUCGGUUUCCAUAAGUAGAACCUUCCAAGUAUACUUCGCCAAUUAACGGAUCCAAAAUCCCUGAAUCAAUCUUGAUUUGAAUAAUGGAUUCCGACAUGCUAUAUCUAGCCAAGAUAUCUUUUCCAGUCGAUAGAGUCAAAUCCUUAAUGAAACAUCCAGUUCUAGAUAAGCUUUCUUCGACAGUCUAGAAACUGUCAAUGAGGAUAGACUUUGAGUCUUGAGUUUGACAGUCUGGAGGUCUUCAGACUUUGAUGAAAGAGUCUGCAAGUCUUCAGACUAGACUGAUAAAAAUGUUUUGUCAGCUUCAAAAUAUUCAAGGAAGUUUUAUCCAACAUAGCUAAACGCUAUAACUUCCCUCAGCAACUUCGCGGGUAGCAACCGAUCCGGAGACAUCGGCAACCUCACCGAGAAGUUCCUUGUUGGGAGCUCCUCGUCCAACUCCUAGCUUUGAUCAUCCUCGAAGUUGAGCGUGUAGCUCAUGAGAUUGUACCCGAACUCCGAGGCUGGGAUGUGGCCCUGCCUGCACCUGUACCUCUUGAUUCGAGUGAUGAGGUCCCUGCACUUGUCCCUCAUCUCUGGCAGCGGAAGCUCCUAUGCAGUGACCAGCCGGGCUACCAAGCUACCUUGCGGUGGCUGCCGUCGUCGUAGUCCGAGGCGGUGGCCUUGUUGUAGGCGGCAGCGUGGCCAUAGUGGAAGCAGCAUAAGAAGAGGUAGGGGAGGAUGAUCUAAGUUUGUGAUUGAACUACAUUUUGGGUGUGAAAGAGAGGGAGAGCGCGUGAUGGAGUCAGAUUUUGGUUUGGUUUGUGCGAGACUGUGAAGAGAGUGAAGAGAGUGGAUGGUGAUGAGGAAGAAGAUGGAGAAGAGGUUGAGGUGGAGGCUUUUUCGUCAAUCCCGCGUGGGGUUUCUAUUUUACCUAACUUUCUCGUUGGGCAGUUUGGUAAUUACGCGGAGUUUGUUGACACUUAAAUUUUGAUGACCUGUUUAGUCAUUUAUCGCAUUAAAAAAUCAGGGAUUGAUUUUAACCCCUUAAUUAAUUAAUUAAUUAAUUAAUUGCAUGUUAUAUAAUUUUAGGUGCAUUUAUUUAUUAUUAUUAUAUUUGCAUUAGGCUGAUGAUAGAUGAGUUCGAAUUGGUGGUUUUGAGCUUUAAAUUGACAGGUUGAACUAAGCCCACGAAGGAAGCAAGUUAGUCCAAGCUUGUAUUCUCGAUGAGAUAUUACGAACUUAUCUUUGCGAGAUUUCAAAUUUGAAAAAAAAAAUCCUUUUGCAAUCCCGAAUCGUAUAAAAAAUAAAUAUCGCGUUCGGAAAAGAAAUCUUUGUGGAUGUUAAUUUGGAAAAAUUAAAACCCUAAUUCUUGGCCUAUAAAUAGAUUGUUCGCGUAGGCUACACAUUGAAUGCACGGCCACAAUUCUGAGAGAGCUCUUAUAGAAUAAAGAGAAGAAAGCGUGAGAGAUUGAGAGAGAAGCACGGCAUCAAUUCAGAUUUUUUACAAUAUUUCUCUCCUCCCCUCAUCACAUUCACACCUCUGCCCUUUUUUUUCUUCGAGCAAAUCACGUACUCCACUAUAUUAUUUUUACAACCCCUGAUCAUGGAUGGUCACAUGGAUUAUUCCGUGAUCUGACCAUCACUACUUGGAGACCGGCAAUCCACAAUUCCAAGCGCACAUAGAGAUGAGAGAGAUCCACGAGUGAGAGAGAGAAAAGGUGCUUGGCCAAGCUUCUUGACCCUCGAUGAAGUAGCCUCGCCGGACACACCUACUUUGAUCGCUGCUGCUAUACGACGAGCUGGCACCUCCCCGAGUUGCGCUCUCACUUGCUGCACUCUGGAAGUCCGCCGAUAAUGCCAGCGAACGGGGAACGUGAGAGUUGGGCUUGCACCACGGCCGACGAGAAGAAACAGAAGUCGAAAGAGAACGUGGAUGAAGAAGCAGACCGGUGAGAUUGAAGAAAUUAAUCCGCUGCUCCGGUCAAAAAAAGAAUCACAAUUUGGUCAAAUAAAUCCAAGCGGUGGAUCUGUCUUCUUUUGAAUUUCGUCCAGAUCCAGGAACCCCUACCUUCUGUCGCAGGAGCCUCUUGCCAGUCUGAUUGCAUUGGAUUCAAAUUCGGAAAGCAAUGUUGCGUUUGGUUUAGCAUUCCCAAUGGGCUUUCAACCUUGAAAGCCCAUUGGGGAAAUGCUGGACUGUUUGGCAACCAUUUUGAAAUAGGUGUCAAGUGAAAGUCAAUAUUGAGAAGGUUAAAAAGCCUAAUCUAGUAAAGACUAGCUUUGAGCUUUUAGUAUUUGGCCAAAUACUAAACCUUUUUUUUUCCAAAACUAUCAUUACUUAUUCUUCAAAUUUCUAAUUUUUCCCUCGUUAUUAUUAUUUUUAAAUGCCAAAAUAAUGCUAAAAAAAUCAAAAUUAUAUAAAUACUAAAAAAAUAAUUAUAUUUUGGUCUUUUAAAAAAAAUAUUUAUAUAUUUGAUUUUUUUUAGCAUUAUUGUCAAAAUUUAUAUUUAAAAAGUUACAUACAUUAUUUUUUUUUUCAAUUUUUACAAAUAAAAAUUAAAAAAUUCUGACAAAGAGUUUGGUCCUUUUUUUAAUAUAUAUAUAUAUAUAUAUAUAUAUAUAUAUUUUUUUUUUGAUUUUUUAGCAUUAUUUUCAAUUUUAAAUUUAAAAAUUUGCAUGUAUAUUUUUUCAAUUUUAAACAAAUAAAAAUUUAAAAUUUCCAACAAAGAGUUUGGUCCUUUUUUUUAAUAUAUAUAUAUAUAUAUAUGUUUUUGAUUUUUUAGCAUUAUUUUCAAAUUUAUAUUUAAAAAUUUGCAUGCAUAUUUUUUCAAUUUUAAACAAAUAAAAAUUAAAAAAUUCCGACAAAGAGUUUGGUCCUUUUUUUAAUAUACAUAUAUAUAUAUAUAUAUAUAUAUAUAUAUAUAUUUGAUUUUUUUAGCAUUAUUGUCAAAAUUUAUAUUUAAAAAGUUGCAUACAUUUUUUUUUCAAUUUAAAAAAAUUAAAAAUUAAAAAAUUCCUAUGAAGGGUUUGGUCUUUAAAAAAAAAUUAUAUAUGUAUUUGAUUUUUUAAAAUAUUAUUCUCAUAAUUUAUAUUUAAAAAGUUGUAUAAUUGUUUUUUUUUCAAUUUUAAACAAAUGAAAUUAAAAAAAAAUUAUUAUUAAUCAUGCAAAGGGCUUUUUAAAUUUGUUUUCUACCGAAUGGCAUUUCUCCCAAAGUUUCUUUUCAAAGAAUAGUUUACCAAAUGGCAUUUGCAUUUGCCUAAAGUCCUUUAGCUAAAUUGCUUUGUAUUUUUCCAAUGGGCUUUCAAAAUGCUGAACCAAAUGCACUCUAAAUUACUUUGAGCAAUCAUAUGAGAAUAGACAAAAGAGAAAAUUACAGUUGCAAUAUCCCAGAACAAUAAAAACCCCAAUUCAAGCGAUCAGGAAAAGCAAGCAAAUUCACAUUAUUCCUAAGUGUGGGAUCUUAGUUGUCCACCUCAAGAAGCUGGGAUGACUAUGGUCAAAGGGAUUUUCUGAAAGAGCUGCUUGUUCUUUCAACAUUUUGAUAUUUCCACCAUAUCAACAUCAAGUAUAAACCCGUAUGCCUCAAUUGAAGAUAAAAGUUUACCACACCAAGGUAACAAGACGAGGAUGUGAUGGAUGACCUGCGAGCAAGCAGAACAACCUUCAUACACAAAAAUGGAAAAGAGAUUAUUAAUCUAAAAGUCUAGUUCCCGAUAUCAUGUUGAGAUUGAAGAAUCAUUGUGGAUGACAAAUGACAAAUUAUUUUCUCAAAAAGGCACUCUUAUGAUCUAGACCUCUGACAAGGGCUGCCAGUUACAUUACUAUCAUGAUCAAGAGAAAGAUUUCAUUCCAACUAAGAAACACGAAUCACUCAGUAAUGUACACAAAAAUCACUCAUGGAUGAUUCCCCAAGACUGCCAGCUUCAUUCAUGAUUUGAUCAAGUCUAAGAUUUUGCCUUAUUAAGGGACAAGGAUCGCCUCAUAUAUCGAACUUUCACCAGAAUGUGAUCUCAUGAAAACCUAACGUAACAACUGCUCAUAUUCUAUAUAAAAAAAAGCUCAGGACAAUACAGAUAUUGGCUUUAGCGACUUGCAUCUAGAAAUGUUUAAAGCUUGUGGAGCUCCUAGUCUCCAAGCCCUCGGGGCUCAAUUAGUUUGCUGCUUUUUCAUGCAACAAUUGACGAGCACCAUGAAAUCUCUAUAUUUCAUACGUAUCUCCAUCCUUUGAGUCCUGGUAUGUCCGAUAGCUCCCAACAAGCUAUCACUAUGAAGUACCUUAAAUCUCCGGAUUUACAACACAUCUGGGAAUUUUGGUAACAACUUGUAUCCUUGAAUACACAAACUUUUGCAGGAUGAGAAUAUCUCUAGGUUUUGAAUGUCACGUAGCUUCUCAUAGUGGUUAAUGUUUUAACCUUUUCAGGGUUUCCAAGCACGGUAGAUCCGUUAACCUUCCAAGGGAAGUGCAACCACAAAUAUUCAAUAUUACCAAAAAAAUCCAGCCCAUCAAGGCCACGUUUCACCUAGACUCUUGUAGUCUGCAACAUGAAAGCCCUCAAAUUCUUUAAAUUAGAAAGGUCUUGUUAUCUUUCGAUGGAUGUGCAAUUGGAGAUAUCCUCCAAUCUGACCAAUAAUCAACCUCUCAAGUUACGUGAAUUUCAACUAGAUUCCUACAAUCUGCAGCAAAGAAUCCCUUUAGACAUUUUGAACUCGAAAGGUCUGUUAAUCUUUUAAUGGAUUGAAAGGUCUGUUAAUCUGUUUAAUGGACAUGCAUUUAAAGACAUUAACCUUCUCGAAAAUUCAGCUUGGUCAAGCAUAGGUAUCUGCCAUCUACGAAGCACUGAUGCUCUCCAAGAGCUUUUGUGUUGUGCCGGACACUUUGACACGUGUCUGACACUCUCCCAACACUCUCAGACAUUCUUUGACACUCGGUUAACACAUGUCAGAAAAUUUGACACCUGAUUAACUUUCUUGAUAUUCUUUGACACUUGAGUUGAAAUUCCAACAUACAAGUUUUCGACACGUGAUUCUAAUAUUGAGGUCAAUUUUAAAAUUUUUCAAUAAAUGAGAUGUCGAAAUGUAUAUAUAUGAAAAAAUAAAACAUAAUAAUAAAAAUAAUAAAUGGGGAAAGAAGAAAAACUCCUUAUGUUUUUGUCUCCUCUUUCGACAUAUCUAACCCGCAAGUCUAGAAUGUGAAUUGCUUAUUUUUUUCUUCAAGUUUUAGAAUUAUUGGAAUAGAGUGGAAUUUGUCAAAUUGAAACAAUGAAUGCUACUAAUAAAUGGUGGAUUAAUGUUUGUAUAAAUUCAUUCUAACCUUUUUUUUAUUAGUUAUUUAUUUAUAAAUUUGAAUCAAAUUAAUUUGAUUGAAAUAAUCAUAAUAAUGAUAAUUUAUUAUGUAUAUAUGAAAAUAUAUAUUUAAUAUACAACAUGUUCUAAUGUGUUGGAAUUCUCUAUUUUUUGAGAAACGAUGUGUUGGAGUGUCAUGUCGUGUCGUGUCGCAUGUCAGUAUUGGUGCUACUUAAUCUGCCAUCAUUGUCGUUGUAACCUUUGCACGACCAUCGUAAAACACCACCCCCAUUAGUUAGUACUACCAAUACCCUUCGGCUUCAACCACCAACAGUCUGCCAUCACAUGCGCGCGGCAUUGUUAGAGGUGUUAAAUGGGUUGCACAACCCAUUUAUGGACCCAUUUAUGAUUAAAUGGGUCAAUGGGUCAAGCUUUAUUUCAUAAGGCACCCAUAAUGGAUUUUAAUGGGUCAAGACAAAGAUAUAUGGGUUUUAAAUAGGUCAGCUCUCUGACUCAUUUAUCAACCCAUUAAAAAUGAACCUAUUUAUUUUCACUCAAAACCUCACCAUCUCUUUCUCCUCUUUUUAACUUUACAAUUUUUUAUUUACAAAAACCGAAAUUAUUAUUAUUAUUAUUAUUUUCUUUCUUCUUCCUCCGGUCGCCGGUAUGGCGAUGGCCGGCGACCGGCCAGGCGAGGCGGAGGCCUCGCCAAUCUGGCGAGACUCGAACUCGCCAGCGUCAGGUGAGGCUUGAGCCUCGCCAAAUCCGGCGAGGGGCGACCUCAAGCUCGCUUAGCUCGCUAGAUCUGGCAACACGGAGGCCUCGCCGACAUUCGGAGAGGCUCGAGCCUCGCCAGAUUUGGCAAAGGGUGAGCUCGAGCUCGCCGGAUCUGGCAAGGCAGAGGUCUCGUCGGCGUCGAGUGAGCUUAAGGCUCACCUGUGGCCGGCCAUCGCCAGUCGUCGUGGCUGGCGGCCGGCCAAAGAAGAAGAACAAAGAAGAAAAAGGAAAAAUUAUAUUUAAAAAUAAAAAUAAUAUUUAUAAAAAUUGUCCAAUGUAUAAAACUAUUUUAGUUUUAAUAUAUAUAUAUAUAUAUAUUUAAAAAAUUAUAAAAAAUUGAAAAAAUUAUUGAUUGGAUUUGUAUUGCUCAGAAGUUUUUUAGUAAUAUAAUAUUUAAAGAAAACCUAAGAAUAAGUUUUCCUAUAUUUAGUUAAAUAUGAAAAUAUUUUAUUAAUAUGGGUCGGGUCGGGUAUGGGUCAAAAAAUUUACAUUAGACAUAAAUGGGUCAUAAAUGGGUUAAUGAGUCAAUUUGGGUCGGACCCACUCGUUUAACAGCUCUAGGCAUUGUACAAAGGCAAGUUCACAAUCCAAAUGCACCGAGAGCACGGGACUGAAACGGCACAGCCACCUAACUAUUUUUAAAAAUCACCCCACCAAACAUGACCCAGCGUAAAACCUAUGUAGCACGGACACGGACACGUGACACGUGACACGACAUGACACGUCGACACGAUAUUUUUUAAAAAUAGAGAAUUUCGACACGUUCCGACACGUUAUAUAUUAAAUAUAUUUUUAUAUAUAAUACAUAAAUAAUAAUAAUAAUAAUAAUAAUAAUAAGAAUUAAUUUACACAAAAAAUAUUAAAUAAUAUCAUUCAUUAUUUUAAUUUGUUACAAUAAUACACAAAACUUAGAUGAAAAAAACAUUGUUUAAAGAAAAAUGCUGAAAUUAUAUUUUUAAAUUUAUUUAUCUAUCAUAUAUAGCAUUUUUUUAUUACUUCUUUCAGAGUAAAAGACUUUAAAAAAAAAACUGAAAAAAAAAUUGACCUUGUGUGUAUAUAUUUAUAGAAAUUUUAUUACUUCUUUUAUACUUCUUUUGUGUAUAUUUAUAUUUUGACCCAUCAAGUAUUAUAAAAUUUUAAAAUUGACCCCGUGCGUGUCGGAAUUCUAAAAUUGACCCCGUGCGUGUCGGAAUUCUGGACUCACGUGUCGGAGCGUGUCGGAAAGAGUUGACCACGUGUCGGAUUUUUUGACACUUGUUGACCGCGUGUCGGAGCGUGUCGGGACGUGUCGGAGCGUGUCGGACACGUGUCGGAGUGUCGGAUACGACACGAAGGCUUCCGGAGAGUGUCCGUGCUACAUAGCGUAAAACAAAACCCACUUGCCACCGCAUGAGAGCCGUCUCAUUACAUCCAAACCCUUCCACUAGACGGACGACAACGGCAGCUACUACCCCAACAAAACGCGAGACCGUACACAAGAGAGAAGCAGAUAUGAACCGAAACACUCAAUCAAGAUGAGAAUAAAUCCGGACAGAGCCGCCACAAAAGCAAACACGCAUCGAAUUCAGCUAAGUGGCGGUGGUGUACCUUCAGCUAGCGAAGCGAAGGAGGGAUGCCAUUGGAUUACGUCAUUGUUCAGCUGCCUCCUUCGCUUGAUUUUGUAGAGGGUUACGCGGAUGCUAGAGUGCUCGUUACCUCUGGAGAAUCUGGGCUCGUUGCCUCAUCAAUUCGGAAGCACCAGAAACCCCAAGAAUCCCCAAGCUUAAAUCUGGUGGCUUUUCUUCGCCCAAAGGACUUGUAGCGAAUAAAUUCGGACACGGCCUUCUCUAAAUUCAACCUUUCGGCACCGCUCAAAUGACUCCAUUUAAUAGAAAGCUUGGAUAGUCGGACGGGAAGCUUUGGAAGACAUUCAAGAGGACGGAGAUCGACAAGAGAGAGUUUCUCGAGAAGGGUUAGUUUGGAAAGAAAUGGCAACGAUGGAGUUGGGAAAUCAAUAUGCAGAGCUAUUAAGCUGGAGGGCGGUUCCGGUAUUUCUCGAAGGAAGUCACAACAUCGAGCGCCGAGAUGUCGGAGAGAAGAGAGCUUCGAAAUGCUCUCUGGCAAGCCCAAAAUGCCCGAUCCAUAUAAAAGAAGCUCCUUUAGUGAAACCAGCUCGCCUAUACUACUAGGCAGUCCUUUCAGAUUGUUGCACCUCAUUGCCCUCAACUCUUGGAGUUUCACCAGCAUUCCAAUGGUGCUAGGCAAUUCUGUCACGAGAGUUUUAUUAAGGUCCAAGAUCCUCAAAUUUUGCAGAUUCCCAAUGCUUUCUGGUAAUUUUGUAAUCGAAGUCCCUUCUAAUUGUAGGUUGGUCAACGAUGCCAACUCUCCAAUCGAGUCGGGGAUCUCUCUCAACGACUCGCAUUCCAUUAAGUUAAGGAGAUAUAGAGAUGCUAGGUUGCCUAUGGAUUUGGGUAUAUGAUCUAAUAUACUACACUCAGCGGCAUUAAGAGUUUUUAGCGCCUGCAUAGAACCAAUGGAUUCGGGUAAUUCUUUAAUCCUUGUAUAAGAUAAGUCCAGCUUAGUUAACGACUCAGAGGAACCCAUGGAUUCGGGAAGUUGAGCAAGUUUAUCAUAACAUUGAAGAUCCCUUGAUUCUUCCAUUCUCCCUACUCUUACUAGUAGCUUCUUUAGUCUAGAACAAAGAUGGACGUCCAAGGAGACAAGGGUCUUGAUAUACCAUAUAGAAGGAUGGAUUUCUUUUAGAUUGCAACAGCUUUCAAGAUUCAAAAUCUCCAAGCUUUUGAAAGCAGACAAGUCAGGAGUUCUUCUCAAAUUGUCACAAAACGAGAGGUUGAGAACUUUCAACUCGGUUGCCAUCUGAAAGAAACAAAGGAAACUUCAGUGAAAGUAGACAAUAGCAAUGUGUGAUUUUCCACCAUUCCUCCCUUUUCUUUUAAGAAUCUUUAAAAUUCCUGAAAAAAUACCCAUACUCCACUGCUCUUUCAUGAUUGUAGUAUUUAAUUUUAAAUGUUUUUUCUUCAGUAGUGUCAGGCUAGACCACCAUAUUGAAUUGUUUAAGCAUAUUAAUCGCAAAAGAAUGUUAGGGACGUACAAGUGCCAAUUAUUUUUAUUUUCGGAUAAAAUUUGAAAAAGAAAAUAUAUUCAAUUUUUAAGAGCUAUGGCGAUGCUGUUCAUUAGACAUACACAAAUUUUAUUAUCAAAGAGACAUUCCAAUAGCAAGAAACUAAUAGCUUAAUUAUGAAAAACAAUUUCUUAAAAGUGACUUAAAAAAAAGUUAAAGAAUGUUGUAUUCCAAAAAAAUUUAAUGCCAUCGGAAGGAUAGUUUUUAUUACUCUCAUAGCAUUAAUAAUUUAUAUUUGUGUCAUACAACGACUUCCAUAAUCAACAAUUACAAUGAAUAAAUAUUUCGUACAAAAAGUCAAAGCAAUCCAUAAAUUAUAUCCAUUACUCUAAGAUUAAAAUGAAUUCACAAUUUUAGUAUUUAUGCACAACAGAAGUUACUCUGUGGGAGUUCUUUUCCUCCAUGAAAGAAGAUUCAUGUAGAGAUACGGCAAGAAUCACUAGAAGACAUGCUUUUGCAUGGGAGAAAUUAACUUAGCCAUAAACCAUCUAGAUUAAAGUAAAUCGGAAUAGGUACAAAUAUGUAAUUAUAUUUUCAACAUAUGUUAAUUAAUAUAGUUAAUUUCUUUUUUCUAGUAUUGUCUAAGGUUAAGCAUGAUGGGUUGUUGAGUUUUAUCAAUAAAAAAUAAUUAAGGAGCAUAAGCUUCCGAUUAUUUUUAUUUUUUGUUUUUUAGCUUCUGAUUAUUUAGGUAACUAUAAAUUCCUCUUAUAUUUAGAUGAAAAUCCUUAAUCCGAGGAACAUUAGCAAACCUUCUAUAAGAAAGAAAGAAGAACCUAGUGCUAUUGGACCUUCGGUAACACGUUAUCAUUCAUAAGAGAUAUAUCUUCUCAAUAUCUUACCUUGAAUGGGCCCCAUCCUCCCCAGUACUCUGUAAUCUUACUAGUUGAUAGAUCGAGCACGACUAAUUUCUUCGGGUGAAAGUUGACCAUAUCAAAAUCCAAGGGACAAAACAUCCAUUCAAGCCAUCUUAAUUGAGGAAGUAAAUUUUGGAAAUCUCCAAUGAAAUUCACACCACACACUUUGAGGAACCUCAAGUUGGUGAGUUCAUUAAACUGUUCACCCCGGUAGCUUUCCCACUUGCCAUAAUAGUCAAGAUGAAGGGCCUCAAUCUCACUAGUGCCCUGCAAUUACAAAACAUCGUGGACCAUAAGUUUUAAUUGAUGAAAUGAGACUAACCGUAUAUAAAAAGAUGGACUAAUUUCAAUUUCAUAUCAUACUAUCAUGGUGUAAGCUUCUAACGUUCAACUUGGUGAAACAACAAGUUGUCAUUGCAUAUGGUUUAUUUAAUUAAUGUAAAUAUGUGAAGCUAAAGAAGGUGUUUUCAAACUUUUCCUCUUCCAAUUAUGCCUUUUGCAGAUUUAUUCCUUUCGAAUUACCAAAAAUUGCAUUUUUUUUCAAAAUUACAAUAAAAGGCCUUAUGUACAAACUACGUCAAAUAUAUCUAUCAAAAUUCAUUGCUCUUUAUAUGUGAAACAACACAACCCUAACUCAUAUAAUUUAUAUGUGAAACAACGUGACUCUUGAAGUCCAAGUACGUCUAUCAAACUUCUCAUCAAAAUACAUUUCAAAAUUAGAGAAUCGGAAUUGUGGAAUCCCCUAUAUAAUUCUGGUUUCCCUUGUUUGCAAUUCUCAAUAACAAAAUGAAAACAAGAAUGUCAUCUCAAGAAGAAUGCUCGUGUUUUACAUUCCUUUGUUAUCAUGUGUUUCUUUAAUGAGUAUUUUUAAAUUGCACAUUCAAGAAAAAUUGAUUAUAUAUCAACUUAUAUAAAUGAUCUUUACUCCUCUUUUUAUUAGUACAGAUGUUUGAUGCAACAUUUUCAAUAUCUUGUUUAUCUUGUUACAGUGAAAUAGCGUAAAUUAAUGAGAUCUUGAUUCCACAAGGAUUAGGCAUGAAGAUUGAUUAAAUUGGAUACUUAGGAAACUUAAGUCUUUUAUAUUGUAUUUGGUUGUAAACCAAAUAUUUUGGGAACUCAACUUUUUUGUCUCAGGUGAUGAAUUGCACAUUGAGCACAAAUCAUGAGAGUUAUAAGACGGAUUUGUUUGACAGUUUGAAUAUUUCUUUCAAAAUAUUUUUUUUUUCAGAUGAGAUACUACUUAUUUUUCCUUUCAAAAUUUCUCGUAUAUCAUCAUGUUUUCAUCAAUAACUUCAUAGAUAUCCUUAUUUCAGUUCUAAGCAAUGCUCUAUUCAGUUGAUUAUAUUUCCAUUUGAGCAACAAUAUGCUCACCGAGAUGCAUCAAUAGCAUGUUUUUCACUUAUCUCGUUACUUCAUUUUAUUGUGCAUUCUCAAUGUUUAUACUUAGUAUUUUUUAAUUAAAGGUUUGCACAUGUUUGUUUGAUGCUUGCACAAAUCAUCCAUAUGUUGUAAUUGCUUCUAGUUGCAUACCUUUUUAACUUUCUUGCUAAUAAUGAAAAUUAAUCAUGACACAAAAUUCAAAACCAUAAUUUUCACAUCACAAUUGGAAUGAACCGUUGCUUCAACUUCGCCCACAUUUAUAGAUAUUGUGCAUAUUAAUCUCAUUAAUAAAAUUGGAUAUGUCAAUUUUUCAAUCUUCCUUCAUCAAAUUUAUCACUCGAUAGUAAUCUUCACAUUUAGAUCUAAUAAUAAUAAAAAAAUUAUUCUGACUUCAAUUUUACUACAAAGUAAUAAAAGCUAUCUCUAAUUUUGCAUUUGAUCAUAUUAGAAUGUAAGGAUUUUAUUAAGUUUUAUUAUGUGAAUACAGGGUUCUAAAACUUAAGUGAUGAUCUUUAUUUAAUAAAUGUAGAAUCAAGAUUAUUUCUUUUCCUAAAUAUUACGUUGAUAUUACUACUUUAUGAGCAUAUGGUUGUGAAUUUGUUUUUAGUUUUAUUACUAAUUAUCAUUCACUUAUAAAUUUCUAACAAAAUUGUAAAUGUAAGGUUAUUUUAUCACUAAAAUGUAACCUUUGAUGAUGCUCUAUGAAAAAAGUCAUAUUUGUUAAAAAUUAAAAAUCCAAGUUCAAUUCAAUAUCAUGUGUCAAUUUUUAGUUAGUUCUUCGACAUUAGAAAUGUGACAUCCUUAUUUUAACCCGAUUUUUCAAAACGAAAUGAUCGUCAGAUGAGAGCAUCUUGAGGAUCGAUGAACCACAAGGGCAUCAUAAAGAAAACUUUGGGGGUGAAAACUCGGUUUUUCAUUCAUAAGACAAAAAAGUUCAGAAAAGUAAAAACGAGCCAUGGACAAGAACCCAAUGGGCCUAAGCCCAAGUGGGCGGCCCAAGGCCCACAUGCCCAAGGGGUGGGCAGCCAAGGGAGACCCAUGGGCCCUUCAAGCCCUAUUUUGGCAAGAUCUUGGCAUUUAAUACACCCAAGUACAUGAAUAGUGCACAAAUAGUGCACGAUAUUGGUGAAUUGACCGAAAUGCCCUUCCAUUGACAAAGGACGAAAGGGCAAAAUGGGAAGUUGGACAUGAAGGGGCGGCACAAGCAUGUUGGGCGGCCAAGAAGAAGCUUGAAGACCAUUCUAGACUAGUCUAGCCUAGCCUAGUCUAGCCCUAACCUAGUCACUUGAGUGCAAAUCCUCUCAUUAAUGCAAGAAUUUUUCUUCUUGAGCAAGCCUUCUUGAUUGAUUGAUGAGAGUCCAAGAAGAUAUGGAUUUUAUGUGCAUUAAUGGGUAAGAUUUCUCUGUCUCUCUCCUCCUUCACCGCUGGCCACUCUUCCCCUCACCCUCAUUCUCUCUCAUUUCCUCACCUAUUUGAUUUCAAGCUCUCUGCCUCUCUCCCCUCACCAACACCGAACCCCCAUAGCCAUCGUCAUCUUCAUCUCAAGCUUUUCUCUUCAUUUUUCCUCUUGUUUUUACCUCACUGGCGACCGUCCCUUGCAACCCAAUGCCGCACUGCCGUCCACACGUCAUUUCCAUCGCCGUAGCCAAGCUUUCAAUAUGAGAAGGCUGCUGUCCAGCCCUCACAGCAGCCCCCUCUCGCUCAUUUCUUCUUUGAUUUGGUCCCCCAUGAAGCCUGGAGGCCGUGCUGAUGCUAAACCGCCACCGGACUGCCACUGUACCACUGCCGGACCACCGACCAGCCACCGUCUAGCCCCCACACGCCCUGAGGAGGUGUAAACAGCAGCCUCAGUCACUGUCCAGCUUUGUUGCACCACCCCCAACAUUUUGCGAAGCUUGGAUUAGUUUGUGAGUGGCUUGCUAGCCUUUGAUUAGGGCUUUCAUUGUACUUAGGGUGUAGUUUAGGGCUUGUUUAGGGUUAAAUGAUGAUUUAUUGAUGUGAUAAGUGGAUGUUGUGUGAUAAGUGAUUAUUGGGCUUAGAUAGGUUAUUGAAUGUUUACUGAUAGGUUAUCGGGUUUUAGGUGAUAAGUUAUCGAGCCUAGGACAAUAAGUUCACAUGUUAGGACGAUAGGUUAUCAGAAUUUUAAUAAUAAGUUAUCGGGUUUUGAUGAUACGUUAUCAUGUUUAGGGUGAUAAGCGAUCAGGUAAUGAUAAGUGAAAUUAAUAUGUUGUUUUAUUAUGCCAUAAAAGGAUAAAAUACUAUUAUGUGAUAUAGGCUUAUACGGAGUACGGAUUAUAUACUAAAUGUGCUAUAUGUGUUAUGUGUUGUACGUGUUUGAUGUAUUUACGUGAUAUGUACAUUAUAUUAAUUGAAGGAUGAACUAUGAGAUGGGGUAUGAUGGCACGUGGAAAAAUGAUUUUGAAAUAUUAUGAUGACUAUAUUCUAUUCUUAUAAGUGAUCCACAUGCCAUGGGUUUAUGAAUUAAAUGGUGCAUUUAUAUAUAAUAUAGUAUGAUGCACGUGCGUAGCAUUAAGCUUUUGGCAAGUGACAUGGCAUAUUGCAUGAGUAUCACGUGCAUUAAUGAGAAAGAUAUGAAAAGAAUUAUGUGAUGGUAUGCUUGUGUGAUCACCUAAGACCUUGAUGCGUUUUACGCGGGACGAUGCCCAAUUAAGUUCGGAUGCCCCCAAGUCAACAGGAUGUUGUUCACGAAUGGAUUUUAGAACGAAGCUCCUUACAGGAAUAACCGUCUUGAUGCGUUCACGCGGGACGAUGCCGUACUCGAUGAGAUUCGUAUGUGUUCAGGUCCGGAUUAUUGCAUGGCAUACGUGCGUGAUUUAAUUAUAUUGUGCAUUCAUAUGUUUGGCUCAGGAGCAUGAAAAAUAUGAUGGAAUUUGCUUAUGUGUUUCUAUUGACGGCCUUGAGUAAUAGGUUUGCUUUGAUGUGAAUAGUUAGGGUAAAACGAGAGGAGUUUUUUUAUGUUUUUACCAUCGAUAGAAAAUUGCAUGUUUAGGGCACUUCCGAGGUGAACGGCUUCCCUAUGUAAGGUAUAAGAAGUUCACUUAUUGAGUUUAUUCAUAUUUGUUUGUUGAAUAUCUAUAGGCUCUAGGAAUGGCUGAGCCGUUCUGUCAGAUAUAGUUUGGCCUGCCUGUUGAGCACAAUCAGGAGGUGACAAAGUAUCCUAUACCGGGAGGGGUCGACACGCAUUACACGCGUUACAUCAUGACCAUCUAGGUCAACAAAGGUCUACCUAAUCUCGUCCCUCACUGAUUCUUGGCCUAGUAUUUCGGGCUAGGCAAUGAGAGCCAUGGUCCCAUCUGCGGCUUCAACGGUCCGUCAGAUGUCAGAGGCUCAAGGGGAGGCAUCAGCAUGGAUGCCAAGGAUGGGGACAUUCCCGAUGGGGAAGUGUUCAACCCUGAGCUCGACCCCGAGUUGAUUACUAAGCCAAAGCCAUGAAUCUUGGAUGCCAUUGAGGCUUAGGUAAUAGUAGGGUUGAUGAUACAUUUUGAACCACCCUCGUAGUAUUAGAGGUGUUAGGCGUAUUCCAGGCCCUUUUUGUAGAAUGUCGUGGCAACACGAUGAAGCAUAUCAGAUGUGAUGACACUAGUUUAACUUCUGAUUAUGACAUGUAUGAAACGUUGGCUUAUGACGCAUAUAUACGAUUAUUUUUAUUAACUAUCCCUAUCUAUUGAAUAAUUGAAGAUUUAUUUAUGCUUCGGCUUGUGUAAUUUAUCGUUAUCGCAAAUUGGGUUGGCAAUGCCUCCUAGGACAUCAUAAGCAAAUGACUGAAAGGGAAAAUACGUGUCACGCAGCCGUAGUGGGUUGGGGCGUGACAAGAAUGUUUGUUAUUCUAUCAUUGAAGAUGUACGUUUGGUAAUAUAUGUUUUGUUGAAAAUACAUGGUUCUCAAAUUACAUUUUAAAAACAUUGUGAAAACAUAUCAUUGCAAAUACAUAUUCUUAUAUAAGUAUAAUAUAACAUUGUAAAUAAAUCUAUAAUUUCACCACUAGAAAUUCUUGUAUGCACUUCUAAUGGAAAUUGUGAUCUAGGUAUUAACUUUCAAUUAUAUUUUUAUAUACAUAGAUACAGUAAUCACUAUUCUUCUAUAAUUUUUUUGUGAUUAUGAAUAGUUUUGGCUAAUUUUCAUUAUUCUUCUAAAACGAAGUCAUUUGGUUUUAUGGUCUUUAUUCUUGACCAUGCACUAUUUUUUUUAAUGUUUGUUGUCAAUGUUUUAUUUAUUUCAUCAAAAUAGUACAUUGUUUAUAAAACUUUUAUCCAUAUUCUCAUAAAUGAACCCUUCUAUUCAAAAUGGUCCAUUUAAAUAUGCAUACAUUUCACAUGAUAUGUUAAACUCCUUUUUCUAUGCAAUUCGUUUUUUAUUCUACUUACGAUUCUUUUCUUUCUCAAAUAUGAGAUAGAAGAGUUUGAUCCAUUAGUGUUGUUUACUUUAAUAUUGGAUGAAAAUACAUCUUCUCUUCGAAAUAUGACUUUCCAAAUUUAUUACAUUAUAAAUAUGUUGAUGAAUAGUACCUCUUUAGGAAGUAAUUCAUCUGGACCAUAAUUUAUCUUGCAUUUUGAGUGGUGUAGUUUCUAGAUGACUUUUUUUUUUCAAUGGUACAUACGUAAUGUUUGGUCCCUUUCUUUCUUUGCUCAUACUCAUAUUAGUUAAUGUUUAUUUGCUACUUUUAUGUUUGCAUUAACAGACACUUCGUUUUGAAGACAUGAGCUUGAAUAGACACAUUUCUUUAUAUUAUACAUGUUGUUAAUGAAACAAAACCAUGUAAUAACUUUUAUGCUAACUUAAACCAAUCAACAUAUAGCUACUAUAGUUUUAUGACAUCUCAACAUAAUAGCGAUUAUAUUGAAGCCUUAUCAUACAGGUGGUGUAAGUUGUUGACUACCUCUCUAUACUUUUUUGGUUUAUUGAACUUGAGAAGAAUAGGAAAGAUUGGGAUCUUGAGGCAAGAGUGUGCAGCGGAAGUUAAAAGUAUUUUCAGUGUUAAAAAACUAAUUAAAAUAGUUAUAGCUCUAUUGUUCCAUUUAUCAUAAAAGUUUAACUUUUUUCUUCUAAUGUCUUAUUUUAAUCCGUAGACCUCACCAAACAAUAUAACAUAUAUAUUUUUUAGCAAUGGGAACAAUUUAUGGGUUUAUCUUUCAUUAUAUGCAACGGGCUAAUAUUUGAUAAAUAAAUAAUAUUAAGUUCAUACUUGUUAAAUUAUAGAUCAAUAUCAUAUUAGACUCAUAUUUGACAAAUAUAUAAUAUUGAAAGGUAAAAAAAAAAAGAUAUCCAUCAUUACAAAAAAAAUUAUAUUACAUGCUUUAGAAAUAAAUUAUACAAUCAAAUUAACUAUCAUAGAAGAAACCAGUACACGUUUAGAGGAAUCUAUCACAUGAAUGCAUAUAUUUCAACAAUAAGUAUGACGCAAUGUAGCAACGCCUCUUGUGAUUGCGAAGUUGUAUAGAUACCCAUUGUGACUAAGAAAUAUCCAUCAUCACAAAAUAAUUAUUUAACAAGCUUUACAAAUAAAUGAAUAUAAUGAAAUUUCCAUUAUAGAAGGAAAAAGAACAUCUGUUUAGACGGAUCUUUUACAUGAUAACAUAUAUUUCUACAAUAAGUAUAACGAAAUGCAUAAUAAGUGAUGGCUAUUAUGAUUAAAAAGUUCUAUGGAUACUCCUUAUGAGAAAAUAUGUUGCAUUUCAUAAGCAGAUCAUAUUAACAAGUUGAUAAAAAAAAACUAUGUAACAUGAUAGCUUAUAUUUAACAAAUAAAUGAUGUAUUAAAUAUGAGCUGUAAUAUGCUCAUUAUUAGGUUGAACGAUAUAGAAGUAUCUAUUAUAACAUGGUAGCUAAUGCUUGAGGAAUUAAAAAAUCGACGGAACAAUUAUAUAACAUGAAAGCCUACAUUUAACAAAUGAAUGUUAUUUAGAAAAUAAUAGACAACGUCACAAAACUACAAAAAAAAGAAUGAAUAACAAAUAUACGGAAGUAAAUUACACAUUAUUAUGAAAAGUCUAUAGAAUGAAAAUAAUAUAUGAUUGGAGGAAAUAUGAAAGCCGUGGGUAUCAAAUGGACGAUGUUAACUAAUAGUUGAUGAUAAAGGACUUGAUUGCACAAAUUGUGAAAGAUAAAGGACUGCAUUAAGCAAAGAAAAAAAAAGAUAGGGGACUAAAUCGCACAAACAAUAACACUUAGCGGACUAUAUGUGUACUUAACUUAGCUUUGAAAAAUAUAAGAGGCAGGAUAGCUGAUUGUCACAAAUGAAUGGAGUUAUCGUUUAUUAUAUCAAGCAACUCAUGAGGUGUCAAUACUUGGUAAAAGAAAGAAAGAAAGAAACGACCUCACAAGAAAUUAACAAAAGAAUCCAAACAUAAAAAAUACGCAUCAAACGUAAAUGUGGGAAAAGCUUGGCCCAACAACUUGUAGAUGUUUUCUCUGAAAGAGCCCUAUCAAAUAUUAUGUAUCUGUUGUUGUUGCAUUGAAGUUAGCAAAGGAGUGUACUCAACAAAAUACUAUGAGGUAAAGAUAUAUAUUGAUCAUCAAUAAUCAAGGAAUUGCUCCUCAGUUAUGUCCUUGAAUCAGGCAAGAACAUCUAUUAAUCAGAAGAGCUCAUUUACUAAUAGAUGCCCCAAGUUUUGACGCAUCAAUUUUUCUCUCAAAGAAUAUAGAGAAGAUGGACUCAACAUUCACUAACUAUGAGACAAGUAGAGAAAACUCUUACCUUGUUGCUUGCAAGCACAUCUUCGACUUUCUCACUAAUCCAUAAUCUGCUACGCUUUUGAGGCUUCUUUUGAUUUUCUUGACGAACUAUUUCCCUUCCAAGAUCUCUCAAUUGAUCGUGCAUCAUUAGCUUGCCGGGUUCAUCAACUUUAAUGAGGGACAUAAGACUCAAUACUUCAAUCCCCCUCCCCGGGAAAAAGUCACAAGCAUCCCACAUAUAAAUCGGAUUUUGUUUAGAUGCUCCAAUAAAAAAGCAUGCAAUAUCCAAAAAAAUCUGUUGCUCCUCAUAAUCUAAUGCUUCAUAACUUAUCCUCAACCUCUCUUGCACUUUUUUUUCUGGCACUUUCUUUAAUUUCUUAGAUGUAUCUUUCCAUGCUUCCUUUGUCUUUCCACAUAAGAAUGAGCCUAUAACUUCAAGAGCUAAAGGAAGUCCCCCAGUAAUAGAUACAACAUCAUAAGAGAUAUCCUCAUAACCACUCAGAGGAAAAUCUUUUCGAAAAGCAUGUCUACUAAAUAAAAUCAAUGAUUGAUCCGAAGGCAACUCGUUGAGUUUAUAAAUGUGAUUAGCCCUAGCCUUGUCAAGAAUACUCUUGUCUCUAGUUGUGAUGAUGACUAUACUUCCUACUUCAAACCAACUACCGUCUCCCACCAAAGCAUUCAAGUGAGUAUAAUCAUCUAUAUCAUCAAGAAGAGUGAUGACUUUUUUACUUGUAAAUCGAGAUUUGAGGACACUGAUUCCAUCAUCGACAUUAGACACCUCACACAAACUUCCUAUUAUGUCAAAAAUGAGCUGCUUUUGUAGGAAUGUAAUACCCUGACGCUGAAAUGUUUCUCGAACAUUUGCCACAAAGCUGCGAUUCUCAAAACGACUAGAUAGUUUGUUGUAUAAUAUCUUUGCAAGAGUUGUUUUACCGAUACCGCCCAUUCCAUAAAUUCCAAUAAACCACGUACCAUUGAAUCUAGCAUCUAUUUGGCUCAUAAUUUGUUCCACACGAUCAUCAGUUCCCACCAAUUGUUUCGGAACAUCUAGCUGAAAAAGUCUUUUUAACUCACUCAUAACUCUUCUAACGAUCAUUUUGACUAAUCCUGCUUCGUGCCUGACAAAUAACAACAUAAAAUUUCAAUAUAUGAUUGCAAUGUUUAUAUGCCUUUUCAAGUAAGAUUUGUCUGUGAAAAACUAAAAAGUGUUUUUGGGGAGAAUAAUGUACCCCUUAUCAAUUUUCUCGGAUUCCCAUCCUUUUAAGAGACUAACUUCUUUGAGUGCAUCUUCCCAUUCCUUCACAACCAUUUGGUUCAAGUUCUUUUUAUGUGCAUUGAUGGCAUCUCCAAAUCUCUCUCUAAGAUAUUGCACCUGUGAGGGUUCCACUUUGUAAAAUAUGGGCAACACUACUUGUCCUCUACUUCUCCUGCAAUUCAACAUCUGAGCCAACUCUUGAAGGCACCAUUUGCUGAAAGCGUAGUCCUUAGAUAUGAUCGGGAUUGAGAUCUUAGACUGUGUAAUACUACAAAGAAGCUCCAAACCAAUAUCCUCACCAAUACGGAGUUCAUUGUCAUCUUUGAACACAAGAAUUCCUGCAUCAACAAGGCUAGUAUAGAGAUAAUCGGUAAAGCCUUGGCGAGUGUCUUUCCCUCUAAAGCUCAAGAACACUUCAUAGUCAUUUCCUUUCAGCCUUUUGGUUCCACCUCCAUUAUCAUCUACAUGUGGAGAGGUCGACGAGGAAGAUGCCCCGUAUAGCAGAUCUUCUGAAUGACUGGGUUCUUUAAUUUUCAUCUUGAGAUAGAUGGAGCGGAGCUUCAAAAGAAGAGGAAUAUGGAAUCCCAGAUCUGGGAAUUGCAGAAAUGUCUCUGGAACUCAAUUGAGAGCUACAUUCAAAGAAAAAUAAAAGCUCUUCUACAACUAAUCAGAAGAAAAUGGAGCGAUCAAAACAAGAAAGAGAGGAGGAGAAGAGCAAGUAGUCGCCAAUUAACUAAGGAGUGCUCAAAUAGCGCAAUGCACACACUGCUGUGAUCUCCACUGAUUCUCACCUUUGACGUUGGAUUACCCACACGCAAUGCUCUUUAUCGUGCGUGCUUGAACUAUGCUGAGUUCUGGCCAUCCAAGGAUCCGAGACUUUAUAUUCAUAUAAGAAAAGUUUAUUAUUUUCAAUCAGCAAUCUAAUUUUUUCUUAAGGAGGUUGCUCUAAAAUGAUAAAUCACUAAGUAAAUCUAUGCCACUUUCAUAGAAAACUCCUAUUGUAUCUCUCUCUCUCUCUCAAAAAAAAAAAAAAAAAGUGAAACAUUGACGAGAGCUUUUCAAGUACACGUUUAGAAAGAUCCGAUUAUGUGAAUCUCCAUAUUUUUCAAUGGUCAAGUUAAACUAACAUUUUGUUUUGCCAAAAAAUCAACAAGAUUAGCGUGCAAGCAAAGUCGUACAUUUGAUUACUCUUCUUUUCUAUCCCGUGAGAAUCACGGCGUACAUGAUCAGCAACUCAGAAAGAAAAGGAAGGAAAAAAAGAAAGAAAGAUCGAUGACUAGUCAAAAAUAUGAGGAAGAUGGGGCCACUUCUGGUCUGGCAUGUUCGUGCAUAACAAUUUUGCCAUGUCCUCGUCAGCCAUUUGAUGUAGGCAUUUUAAUGUUAGCUGUCCUUUUAAAUUGCGUUAAGCUGUGCAAUCAAAACUUUGUCAGAGUAAACCAUUGGAUUGACAUUGAUAAAAUUGCUAUGUUCAAGGCCACUGGCUCGUAGCAAAGGCCGGAAGAUGAGGAAAACCUUUACAGUGUCCCGAUUGUAACGUUACGACAUUACGAUACAUGAGCUAAGUAGAAGAACAUCAUAAUAGCAUAUUCUAUGACGUUGCCGUAUUCAAGUACAAAAGUGGUGUGAAACAGAAGUCUGCAACGAAAGUUUUUCAAAAGAUGAAUGGAAUCAACACUGAUGGAAGUUUCACAGGAAAAAGAUGAGCCGAGUAAGGCAUGAGACGAGGGGCAUUUGUCGCCUGACUUGCUUUUUUUAACUCACCCACUUUGAUGACCAAAAAAUAGCCUUAAUCCUGCUUUUUUAUCAACGGGAAAACAAAAAAAAUAAAGUGAGAGCAUUUGCACUUCUGAUGGAGCUCCAAAUGAUUGUGUUCCUCGGUGGGUUGGAAAUUGGAAUCUAAAAGAAAACCAAAUAUAUUUGUACACCUCUAAUAAAAAAAAGUUUAUUCUUUUUUACCCAAAUGAUGAAAGAAUAAGUGAGAGAUAUAUGAUUUGUCAAAUAAUAUAAAACGUGAUACGAAAGUUAAAUGUAUUUUGGGUCUCAUACUAAUUAUGUUUACAAAAAUUGUAUGUCUAUUUUAGAAAUUAGAAUCACCUGAUCAAAUAUCACGAAAAGUUAGAGCCAUCUGCGCAUAGUCCAAAGGCCUAAAAACUUAAUCAGUUUAUUAGAUUUGCUGCUUAUGUCAUGUGCCUUCGAGUGUCCAUCCUCUACAAUGGUGCAUAUAGUGUCCAUCCUGCUUAUGUCAUGUGCCUUCGCCCUCGUUGUAAUUGCACCCACUAAAACUAAAAAUGGUUUGAAAAAAUACUUCGAAUUUUGAUCCUCACUAUAUUUGACUGAUAUGGAGAUUUUUCAAAAGAAAAUAUGGAAAAAAUCAUUUUCACUUUUUGGCUUCAAGAAUAAAAUGCAUAAUUUCUGUUUUCACCAUUUUCAUUCUUGUUAAAGCGGCUCUCCAUAGGAUGCUUUUAUGUAACUCCUUCCUUUUCAUAUUCAUUCACCUUGGACACAAAUUUAUAAUUUAAUGGAGUAUUUCCGUGACUUUCGAAGGUUGAAGCUUUUUCUAAAGCUAAAUGGAUUUUUCAUUGUCAAUUCGCAGCUCCAGGAAGCUUCAAAGGAAUUUCCUGUUCAAGAUUUUCUUUUCAUUGUCCUUUUUUCCUUUUUCAAUGCGCAGCUCUAGGAAGCUCCCAGAACUUUCCUUUUCAAGAUAUUUCAUUGUCAAUGCGUAGCUCUAGGAAGCUUUAUAGAAUUUUCCUGUUCAUUGUCCUUUAUCCUCUCCAAUCCGGAGCUCCAAGGAGCUUCAAAGAAAUUUCUUGUUCAAGGUUUUUUUUUCAUUGUCCUUUAUGAUGGAAAACAAGUUAGUUAAGAAAUUCUAAUGCUAUUAAAUAAUAAUGAUGGCUAUAUGAAUUCCCUUUAAUUAUCCGAGAAGAAAAACAAAUUGUUAUGUGACUUUAGUAAUUUCCCACUUGCUAACGUGAUUAUCCAGAAAGAAUUGUUUCAAAAGAUUCAUUCUGUUGGGUGAGAUAAAAAAAAAUUCAUUGCUUUUAUUAGCAAACACAAUAUAUAAAUUGACAUAUUGAGAAUGGGAUAUAUAUUAUAAAAAUAGACUCUUGGAGUGACAAAACCUACUACAUGGAGACACUUAAAUGCCAAAAGUUAGGAAAAUGACACUUAAGUGCCAAAAUCGGAGUAAAAUGGAUUAGUUAAGUGCCAACGGCAAAAAGAUUUGGCCAAAUUGCAUACAUAGCAUUUUUUGACAACAUGAUUUACUAAGGUGGCAUAUAUAUUUAAAAAGCACACGUGGACAAUAAAAACGACGUUGCCCCAUCCACGCUGGCUUUGGCAACCUAAACAAUGUCGUUUUUCUUUGGUGCUAAGUGACGUCAUUUAGUAAUUUUUAGGCUUACACUAGAUUAGAUCUAGCCAUCGAUGCUCCUCUCCGUUCACAUUCAUGCUCACACCGACACCCUUCUCUCCGUCGCCGUUCAUGGUCACCGUUCAUGCUCACUAAAGUCGGUCAUUGCUCGUCAUCGCAGCUCACUGUUGUUGCUCACCCAAGUUUGUCCUCUUCUCCCCCUCCCCUAUGGUGAAAUCAGGGUUUAGACUCAUCUAUUAAGGCUCCGAUGGGAAAUUUGGGGCUCGGUUGGGAAAUGUGGGGGUUGGCUGGAAAAUGUAGGGCUCGAAUGGUACUCUAAUGUGCAAUUUAGGGUUCAUAUGUGGUGCUUGAACCCUAAUAGGGGUUUGGAUUGGCAAUUUAAGGGUCAGCCUCAAAAUGUAGAGCUUAACAAGGGGAAAAGUAGGGAUCCUAUGCUACUAUGAUUGUAAUUUAGGGCUCAAAUGUGGUAUUGUAGUGUGCGAGGGCAAUCUCUAGGGGUCGGAUGUGAAAUGUGAUGUGUGAGGACAAUAUUUAAGAUUCGAAUGGUUGUCAUGCGGACCUCUAGUCAUUUUUUAAAAUGAAAGUGUUGAAAUGGGUGUCAUGGGGACCUAUGCUUGUCAUAAGGACCUUUGUUUAUUGGUCAAUAUUUUAAGGGAAGGCAAGAUAAUCAAAGAGAUUGUCGUGGGGGGCAUCUUAUCAAUGUGGGGACCUAUGUUAGUUGUGGGGGACAUCUUUUCAAUGAGUUGUUUGACCUAUGUAUCUCUUCCAUUUUCUUUAAUGAAGUCUAUGAGAGUGUAAAGACCUCCAUGUGCAAUUGUCUAUUGUCCUUUGUUGAUGUGGUCUCAAAAGUUAAUUACUUUUGUUUUUUUUUUUUUCCCUUGGUUGCAUAAAUGGCUUAUGACAAUGAUUAUGUUGCUAUCAUUAUUUGCUACAGCGGAGAUUUUGCAAUUGGGGAGGAUGAGUGGAAGUAUGAGGGGGGAAAUGAUGGCACUAUAUUUGUCGAUAUUAAAAAAAAAACAUAUUAUAGUGGAUUUGUUAGGGAUAUAAUGACGUAUUUGCCAUGUAAAGUACUGAAGUUGAUGUAUUGUGUUCCUAGAAAGGGCUUGAGCGAUGGUUUGAGAAGCUUAGAAGAUGAUAAUGGUUUUAGGGAUGUCCAACACCAUUAUCUUCACGGUAAAAAGAAGAAAGUAUGCGUUGAGUACAAUAGUGACACUAAGGAUGAAGAUGAUAACAGAGAGAGAGCACCCAAGUAGGUGAAGAGGGAGAUGGUAUUCAAGCUAGUACUAAGAUUAAGAAUGAAGGAAGGCAAGAUAGACAAGAUGGGGAGGAGAGGGGCAUAGAUCCGCAAAGUAAUAAUGACAUAGGUGAUAUGACAAUCACUAGAUUAAAUUGGGAAGUAAUUGAAUAUAGUGAUGAAGACGAUGAAGGGUUGCCUAUUGAAAAUUUCUUAAGUGAUGACGACGACAAUGAACUUGCACAGUCAAGGAAAAAACAAAUUGAGUUUUUGGUAGAUAGGUUUGUAGCUUUGUAGGUAACUGAUGAAAUUGUAAAUAAGGCCAAAGGAGUUGGAGAUGCUGGUAUUGCUACUGAGGAGAGUGAUUAUGAAGAAAGCAUCGAGAAUGCUACUUCUCAGGAUGAGCUUGAAAAACAUCAAGGAGCUGUGUGUAAAAGGAAAAGUAAGUUUCCUUCCUAUAAUCUAUCUGUUGCUUCCCCUACUUUAUCAGUAAGUAUGAAAUUCCAAGAUGCGAAGUAAUUUAUAGAAGUUAUGCUGAAAAACUCCAUUGCUGUAUAAAGGAAUAUUGAUUUCUUUAGAAACAUUAAAACCCUUUUAAGAACUAGAAAUUCGCAGCAAAAUUGUCUAUGGAAGAUAUACGACAUGUUUGUUAGGAGGAAUGGGUCCUCUAGAUUAGGGCCUACCAAAAGGAACAUACUUGUUCCAUUAAUUUUGAAAAUAAAAGAGUAACAAGUGCAUGGUUGUCCAAGCACUUCUUCGAUCUGAUCAAGCUAAUGCCCGAGAUGAAGAGUACCGAGUUCAGGAUGUUGGUGAAGGAGCAUAUAAAUAUCAAUGUAUCCAGGAAUCAGUGCAAAAGAUCGAAGCAAAAGGUGAUGAGGAUACUCAUUGGUUAGUACAACAAGGAAUAUGGGUAGAAAAAUGCUUGGAAGUAUAGACUGAAAAAUGCUUCAAGUAGAAUGUAUGUAGAGGUCAUGGAGAGAUCAUUUGCUAAUAGUAAGACCAAGUUCAAUAAGUUCUAUGCAUGCUUCGAUACAUGCAGACAUAGAUUUUUCUCUUGUUGCACAUGGACUAUAGGAUUAGACAACUAUUUCUUGAGGGGCUUGUACAAGAGAGAAUUACUAACUGCAAUUGGAAGAGAUACGAAUAAUCAAAUAUUUCCACUGACUUGGGCUAUUGUGAGGGUAGAGAACAAGGAUAAUUGAUGUUGGUUCCUAAAAUAUAAUGAAUAACCUAGAGAUAACAAAUGAGGAAGAAUGGACGUUCAUGAGCGACCAAUAAAGGGCAAUGUUGUGACGUUUGGAAUUUUCUCUAUAGUUUAUGAUAUUUAGGAUAUAUAAUUAGUAUAGUAACUGUCGGCAAGAACCGACACACUCUUGAAUACGUAUUGAAGAAUUUUCAAACAUUGAAUUUUUACUAAAUUAAUGUUUCCUUAUUGUUCUAUAUCUUUUGUUAAUAAUUUUAGUGGUAUUAAAAUAAUUUUUUGAUUUACCGACGUUUCAAACGAAUACCGAUUUCUUUGAUUAUUUACUGCAAUAUAAUGUAUUUAUCCAAAUGAACAUAAUAUCUCCAUUUUUUUUUAUUAAACCAUGCCAUUUGUCACCGUGACAACUUAGACAAAUGUCUUCAUCUCCACCACUUUUUUUCUUUUUUAAUCCACGUGUCUAAAUUAAAUCCUUUGAAUUUAUCUAUAUGACCUCAUGCAUGACAUAAUCUUAACCCUAGUUUUUUUUUUUUUUUGUCUACAUUUAACCAUAGUUAAUUGGUAGUAUUACCUUUAACCAAGGCUAAUAAAUGUUACUUCAAGCCACUCUUAAAUGUAGAGAAUAACUUUGGAAGACAAUAGAUAAAUGCCUUAUUUCCCCUACGUCCUUGAACGUGCACCUCCAUUUUCUUCACUUCUUCAAGUUCAAGUUUUAUUCACUUUCUAUUUCAAGAUAAGGCUCACACCCUCACUUUCAAUUUAGUGUCUUACAAGGUUUCUUCAUGGAUUUCCUUUUAUUUUUAUCAAAUGAGUUUUGUUAUUUUCUAAAGAAUGACACUUGUUAAAUUAAUAAUUAUUUUGAUUUCAAGGUGAGUAAGGCUUUGUUUGUUGAAGAUUUUACUCAAGGUAAGUGAAAAUCCUAAGGACUAAGUUAGAAUGGUUUACUUAGUACUCUUAAGCUUGGUUGAUUGAUUGUUUGUUUAUUUACUAUAGAUUUUACUCUAUAUGUGUGUAAGUUGCCAUGGUUAAUUGUUGAGCUAUGGUGACUGUUGGAUUUGUAUUAAGAAUGGGUGUUUUGGUAAAUUUUUGACAAAAUAUGGGAUAAUUUCGAAAUUUCCAGAAUGGAGCUAAGGCUACGAACAGGUUUAUUUUAUGAUUUUUAGUUUUAAUAAGUAGGUUUCUAAGUAAGAAUUAACAAGGGAAAUCAAACCGGUUCAAAAAAGUGAUUUUAGAAGCUUUAGGAGUAAAUUUGUAAUUUCACCAAGAUGAGGGACGAAUCUGCAAAAAAUGAAAAUUCUGGGGACUGUUCACAGCUUGUGGAAUCUUAUUAUGAUAGGUGGUAAAGUUAUUUUCAAAGUUAAUUGUUUAAUUUAGAUGAAGUGUAAAUUAUGCAAAAAUUGGAACUAGUUGUACUAAUAAAUCAAAAGUGGGUUGUUUUAAUAGUUUUGUAAAAUAUGUGAUGUGUCUAUAGUAUAAAAAAAUUGUUAGUAUGUCUUAGAUAACAAAAAGUAUAUCUUUUAGUUUUAAUUUAAUUAAUAUGACUUAGUUGGUUGAAAAUAAAAAAUUAUGGGCAAUUUAUAAAAUGAUCAUUUUACUAGGGCAAUAGUCUAGUUUUUAAGAAUUUGGAAUUAUAGAAAAUACUUCUUAUUUUCGUGGAAAAAGUGAGCUUAAUCAAGGGUGAUUUUAUUUUUAAAAUGUAAAUAUAUGAGUUACUUUUAAUUAUUGGAAUAAUAGAGUAUAUUGCUAAAUGGACAUCAAGAAUUAAUAAACUAGUAAAAGUUAUCUACCAAAUGAUUAUGGAUUAGUGAAAAGAAGAAGAAUAUUUAAUUGUUAAAGUGUACGUAAUUAAUCGAUUCUCAUGGUUAUAUGAAAAUGCAAAGAGAGUAAUGUGUUGUCACUUGCAAUUGUGGACACCAAAAAGUAUGUUGCACUUAUUAUGUUAUGAUUAAUUAUGUAUGUCUUUGAUAUUACAUGAUUAAGACCUUUGUCACGGCCUAUUCAUCAUGGAGCAAAUUCCCUUGUAUGAGUAUAUAUGAGACUUUGAAGUGAACCAAAUGUUCUAUCGUAUGAGACGGUUCUAUACAAGGUUGAGAUGACAUGAAAUUUUAUGAUGACAUGGCUCGUGUAGUCAUGGUAUGACAUGGCUUGUGAAGCCAUGGUAUGAUAUUAAUAAAUGGCUAUUAUCAUGCGGAUGUACAAUGAUGUAUUAAUCCUCACUAAUGUAGAGGACACCCGUGAUUGAUAGGCUGAGGCGUGGCCAAUGGGUAUGUAUAAUUCCAUCCCCCAUGAGUUGGCAUUGACGAUGCCUCGUUAGUCGAGAUGCCUCAUGAAUCGAGAUGGUCUUAGCCAGUGACGAAUGAGUUCAUAUGUGUAAGAUAAUGAGAUGUUGUGGUACUUGUAUAUAUUUUUUAUAUCCAUUUGCACAUGUGUGAUCGAUCUUAUGCACUAUUAUGAUUUCCUCAUUGAUAUGUCUUGAUAUGAAAAAUUGUACAUUUAUUCUUGCACUCGUAAUGCAUGGUUGUUUUAUACUGCCUUGAAUUCACGAUUUUUGUUGAUACCAGAUGGAAUGAUAGGUAGAUCUCCUAUCUUCGACUUAAGAAUUUCAUUUACUAAGUCUCGGCUUAUUCAUUUAUUUAUUUUUUCAAACCUGUAGGAUAGCUCUUACGCCACUGCCGCUUUUUGGAGCUCCAGCUCACAUUGAGUAUAGUUAUGAAGAAGUGGUAUUGCCUUAUACGAUUCUUAUGUAUGUUAAGUGUACAACAACAGUCUAGGUCAACGUGGGACUUGCUAAGUGGGUUCCGCAUCAGUAUAUAGCUUGGUACAGGAUCUUUGAUGGCAAUUGGUUGGGACCGCUCAGAGGAUUUGAUAGUCUUGCUGACUACAUUUCCAAUGGACCAUCGAUGGGGGAGGUCAUCGAUCCUUAGAUUUUAGCUUUAGUGUUGUAUAUGCAGGUUUUUGGGUAUAGGAGGAUAAAGUUAAAGUUAGGCAAUCCUACUUCUUCCUAGGUAUUUUGGUAUUUUGUGUAUUGUUUGUCAUACUAUUAUGAGUUGUAAAUAUGAAGUUAAUAUAAUGAAAUAUUAUGUGUAAUAUUUAACUUGUGCGAUGAUCUUUUUGUAUGUUGUAUGGUGUUGUAUUUGUAAUGCUUCCGCUUGCUAUUAAAAAAAAAAAAAAGUACAUGUGUCGCGCGUGACGUUCUGGGACGUCACGACCUGUUUGGUAUCAGGGCAAGUUUACCCAUGAAGUGAUAAUGUGCGCUUAGUGGUUACAGUAGUAAAGUAGACCGUGCAAUUAUAAAAGACCAAAUGCAUGUGUUUGCCCUAGACUGGUUGUGUGGUACAAGAAUAUUUAUUACUAAUUAGUUAGCUACUAAAAUAAUAUUGUAGGUAUUGUAAGACAAGAUGAGCUCUGGUAAUAACUCGGAGGAAGAUCCUCGAAUGGAGGGAAUCCUUCUAGCACUUGCAAAUGUUGAAAGUUUGAUGGAAAAGCAGGCUUUACAACAAGCUGCCUCUAGUUCAGGGAAUGGCAAAUACCGUUUACAAGAUUUGAUUGAACAAUUCUUGAAGGUGAAGCCACCAAGGUUUGUUGGAGUAGGAAACCCUAAAGAGGCAUAAUCGUGGGUCAAUGGGAUGGAGAAAAUAUUUGCAUUACUCAAUUGCAAUGAUAUUGCUAAGGUAGGAAAUGCCAAUCACUGGUGGAGGGCAUCUAAAGGAAUAAUAUUCCAAGCCGAGGCUACUAUGACUUGGAGUGGCUUUGUUAAAGCAUUUUUCAUGAAGUAUUUCUCGAAUUGUGCCCAAGAGAAGAAGAUGAUGGAGUUUAUGCAAUUGAAGCAGAAUGAUCUAAUUGUGGGUUGGUAUGAGGCAAAGUUUGAAAAAUUGUGAAGGUUCGCCCCUAAGUUGGUUGAGGACAAAGAGGACAAAGCUAAGAGAUUUUUGGAUGGUUUGAGACCGAAAAUUAGAAGCACACUAGUGCCUUUAAAUGUCAAUGAUUAUGAGGAGCUCUAUGAGUAUGCACAACUUGUAGGGAAAGAUUUGGCAAAGUUAGCAACGGCAUCAACAUUCCAAGCACUACCUAAUCAUCAGGCAUUUCGAGCUAACUUUCGUCGUAAUAAGAGGCCCGCGCAAAUUGGAAAGCAAACGUGUGGUCCAAAUAAGAGAAAUAAUGCUAGACGAUAGCUUGGAUCCACACAGAACAACCGACAAAUUGGGUGGAUACAACGUCAAAAUAUUGUAUGUUGAUAUUGCGGGAAGCAACAUGGAAGUAAACCAUGCCUGGCUCGGACAAGAGCUUGUUUUAGAUGUGGAUAACAAGGCCAUAUGAUAAGGGAGAGUCCCUUGGUGACGCAACAGCAACAUGGCAUGCCUAUCCAAUAACUUCCAUGGAACAAAGUCCCACAGUAGGGGAAAUAUCUAGAGGGCGCCAGCUCAAGGUCGAGUUUAUGCAAUCACGUAAGAGGAAGCUAAGGCUUCCAAGAUGGUUAUAUCAAGUAUCAUGUGACAAUAAUGCUUAUGCUUUGUUUGAUACUAGUGCCACGCAUUCAUUCAUAUCUGCACGGUUCGUACAAUUGAUUAGAGUAAACCCUGGACCACUUGAAAUAUCCCUUAGUGUGUCUACACCGCUAAGAGAUGCGAUUUUGUCCACGUUGAUAUGUAAGGGUUGUAAGGUUACUAUAGGUGGACAAGAUCACAUGGUAGAUUUAAUUGUGUUGACCAUGUACGAUUUUGAUGUUAUUUUGGAAAUAGAUUGGCUUUGUAAGUAGCGAGCCAAUGUGGAUUGUUAUCAGAAAAUAAUCCAGUUCAAUCCACUUGAUCAUCCUAGUUUUAAAUUCUUUAGAAAUUGGUCAAAUCAUUUAAUGUCACUUGUCUCUACACUUGAGGUACAUCGUCUUCUCAAUGACGGUUGCAAGGGAUAUUUGGCAUUGUUAGAAGAUCAAUCAAAGGAAGUAACAAAACUUGAGGAAAUCCCUGUAGUUCGUAAAUUUCCUGAUGUCUUUCAAAUGAGCUACCGGGGUUAUCGCUGGAGUGUAAAAUUGAAUUUGUUAUUGAACUCACUCUUGGAAUGGAACCUAUUUCCAAAGCUCCCUAUCAAAUGGCUUUAGCAGAGCUGAAAGAGUAAAAGGUGCAGCUACAACAACUGCUUAAUAAGGAUUUUAUUUGACCUAGUGCAUCACCUUGGUGUAUCAAUGUUGUUUGUGAAGAAGAAAGAUGGGUUGAUAUGCCUUUGCAUUAAUUAUCGGCAAUUAAAUCAAGUUACAAUUAAAAAUAAGUACCCAUUGUCACGCCCCGAACCUGAGUACAUGAACAUCCCUCAACGGUCGAUUAAAAAUGUGACGUCCCUAGACGUGUUGCCGACCCAUUCUUUUUAUCUUUCGAUUAUACGCAUGCAUAAGUGACUAAAUUAAACACCCAGACAAUCAACAAUAAUUGGGAUAGUAAAACACAACAAUGAAUUUUUUACAAAAACUAAGAUUUAUUUAUCAACAAGUUAACCCAAGGAGUUUAAUAUAUACAGGCCUACCACAAAAGAAACUUCCAUGUGACCUACAAGCAAAAAAAAGUCAGAAGGUCAAGGUCAACUUUUAGCUGCACAAACUCCCAACACUUGCUCUAGUUCCGAGGCGCAAAGUUGGGCACGUAGUCAGGUGGGUACGGCUCCUUGAGUCCAUCUGGAUUGGAAUUUGGAUCCACAACGACACCAUUAGGGAUGUCGAUAUCCAUGGGGUCACUUGCGGGCCCUUCCACGUGUCCAACGAGCGGUCCAUCAAAACCAUGGAGGGGACCCUCCGUUCACUGUUCACCUCCCUAAUAAACCACUUGAAGUAGUGGGGCACCACAUGGGGCACCACAUGUACAAACCCCUCGUCUACCCAUACGGUCAUAACUACCAGCUCGCAAGUACGGUCAGUCCCAGGGAUAGGAUAUAGAGUAGUCUCUACCUCCAUGUCCCAAGUAACCCCGAAAUGUACAAGGUGACACUCCAUACUACGAACUUGAAAAAUGUUUGACAAUGACGGUGUGAGAUAAAAUCGCAGCGAGUUAAAUCCCUAAGCCUCGAUUAGGACAUGAAUUCGCCUCGAAGGCAACCUAAGCAUGCACCAUACAUAAACUCACCUCGCCUCGGCACGCCCGUGUAUAUUAGCACGUCUUGCUCAACAAUAAUAGUGUAAUGUGCAUAAAUAACAAUCAUAACACAUACUAGAAUUUCAUAUGCAUUGUCAAUACACGUGUUCCAAUUAUUACGACCCCUUGAGCUACAGCCAACACAAGUGUUGGCGGUCUCCCGACAUGACCAGGCAUCGUCCCGCCCCAUCGGGCACGGCAUCAUCUAGGAACCUUGCCUAAACGGCAUUCCAUAAAGGAGUUUCGAUCCGGCCUCAACCGCAACUUGGCAUUCAGACCCCUGCCGCGCAUCCGAUAAAAUCGGGCAUCGCCCCCAAACUCCCAUUGGGUGACUGGUUCAAUUAUGUGACCAUUCAAGCACAUCAUCAAUCAAGCCAACUUUUAUUGUCGUUAUUUAGCCAAGAACACAAUACUUCAUUUUCAAAUAAUAAAUUUGGCAAUACCCCCUUUUUUUUUCUUUAAAACUCCCUGAAAUAAAUUUAUACGGGGUCACGUAUAAAAUUAACUCGUCAAACUUUGCACACUUCUAUUUUAAAACCCAUUAUAUUUAUUGAGCACAUAAAAUUUGGUGUCCAAACCCGACACCUCACAUUUUUCUAUUUAAUUGCCUAUAAAACCGUCUUUUGUAAUAAUAAUCGAAACUUACCAUAGAGCAAUCAACCAUAUAAUAUCGUAUGUGCAAACAAUCAAAAUCACAAUAUUACGCAAAUAGUGAUUAAUUAAAUAAAUUACGAUUAAUAAAGCUGAACGCAAUUAAUUAAUCUAACAUGAUUAAUUAGACUAAUCAAAAUUAUUUACACUAAUCGCAAUUUAAUUUAACCCAAACCAUUGUUAAUCGCAAUUAAAACUUAACUAAGCUUAACUUAGACAAACCCUCAUUAGCACCAAUCUAACCACCCCUAAAUGCAAUUAGCGAUCUAAUCCAAGAUUAGAAAAUCAACUCAUGGGUUUUCGACAGCGGCUAGCUUGUGGCAACGGCGACGCGACAGUGUCAAGAGUGUGACGCUCACAGCUCGAACAGAGGCUCGACGAUGGCCGUGUCAGCCCCUCAAGUUCUCAGCCACCUAGAGUGGCUUGGCUUUAUGGUGGCUGCGGUGGAGGUGAUGGACGGCACGAGCGGGCAGCGGCAAAAUGAUGGUGAUGGGGGCGGUGGGAUGAUGGUGGCGUGGAGGAGCUACUGGCGGAUGUGGUGAUGGACGGUGGAGGUGCUAGUGGUUGGAGCUGGCGGUGGUGGAUACUUGGUGGUUAGAGCUGGCGGUGGUGGUUGCUUGGUGGUGUCGGCGGUGGUGAGGUGGUGAUGGGGAUAAUGCUGGUGGUGGAGGAUGGUGAACAAUUGAAGAAGAUGGUUAUGGGGUGGUGCUGAUAGAUGGGGGGCUGAUGAUGGUGGUGGAAGGGGUGAAAAGAAUAUGAAGGAGGAGGAAGAGUGGAAGAGAAAAGAGAGGAGAUGGAGGGAGGAACCGUCGGCUGCACCAAGAAAAUAAAGGGAAAUGGUGUGGGGGAGGCGAGAAGAGAGAAAUAGAGAAGAGUGGGAGAGAGAGAAAAUGAAUAAAGCAAACAAGAGAUGUAGGAAAAUAUCCCAAAAACCAUCAUCACAUAUGCCUCAAAAGUUUUCUAAUCUUAUCCUUAGUCUCCUAAUUAUCUUCUUUAGCUCUAAUUUCUAAAAAAUAAGACUUUUUGGGCAGCAAAUUCCCAAUUUGCUUAUUCAUCCGAAUUUCAUUUCCUUUUUCUUUUUGUCCGAGAAUCCUUUUUUUGAAAAAAAAAAUUCAGACUGAUCGAAAAUUUGACGAAAGAUGAGACGACAUCCAAUAAUUAAAUUGCGACACGUUCGAAAAUUCGAUACUCGAAAUUGAAUUAAAUUUUGUGGUUAAAAUCGAUCGAACGCGACUUUAGUGUGACAUAAUCUAUUGGGUAGCUUUUAGGGGUUUUCGCGCGUUUAACCCAUGGUCGAUAAUUUUCAACCAACGUUUGUGCAUCUUCAAAUCGUAGGCGACCCUCAGUUGUCAUGUAAUCACGAGGCUUCAAUUACGCAUCCUGAAUAUAAUAUCAAUAGAAAAUCGAUUUAUUAUCAUUCGACACGAAUAUUGUAAUUGGGCAGAAUCACUCGCAAACCAAUUACGUACUUCCGUAAAAUCGAUUUAUAUCAAUUCACUAAUUAAUUUAUACAGCGUAGUAUUGACCAUUAUCGAUCCUUAUGGUCGAGUGGUCGAUUUCCAAUCAAAUUCUCUAGUCUUUCGUGUUUUAACCCUUUAUGGCAUAACCUAAUAAAUUAGUUAACUCGUGAGUGAUCAAUUCAGAGUAAAAUAACCAUAAGCGUGUUGAUGAAAUAACCAUUUAAUAUAUUUUGAAAUAUGACCAAAUUUCGGGAUAUCACAACUCUUCCCAUUGUACAAAAAUUUCGUCCUCGAAAUUUGAACCACUACAAUCCUUCCUAAAAAAGGUGAAGGUGUUGACGUCUCAUCGACUCUUUGCUUUCCCACGUGGCUCUCUUCGUUCUGUGGUGUUGCUAAACCACUUUAACCAAAAGAAUCGUCUUAUUACUUAGCAUUUGCUAUUUUCGAUCGAUUAUCCGAAUUGGUCUCUCCACGUACGACACUCUCUUGUCCACGUCUAUUUACUUGAAAUUCAGCAUGUGGGUUGGAUCAGGUUCAUACUUCCUCAAUAUCGACACGUGAAAGACGUCAUGCACUUGAGCAAGUCUCGAUGGCAACGCAAGACGAUCGCCAAAGUCCCAAUUCACUCCAAAAUUUCAAAGGGGCCAACAUACCUCAGGCUUAGCUUUCAUUUCUUGCUAAAACGUGAAGUACCUCUCAUCAGUGACACUGUGAGGAAUAUAUAUUCACCUACUUGGAACUCCAAUGGUCUACGCCGCUUAUUUGCAUAGCUCUUCUGACAACUCUGGGCAGUCUUGAGCCAUUUUUGAAUGACUUUGACGACGUCAACUAACUACUAAACCAAAAAAAUAGCAAAAACAGAGAUUCACUAAAACAAAUCUCAAACUAAUACAAGACAGAUUGACCUAUGUCUAGAUCUAAGCAAUUUUGAUCUAACCAAUCAUGUCCAAAAAUUUUGAAAAAAAAAAUACAAAAAUGCACAACACUUGUACAAGCAACUUUUAUGAAGAAUAAUUUUUCCAAAAAUCAACACAAAAAUAGCAAAAACAGAGAUCAAUAUGAAACAGAUUGACCGAAGCCUAGAUCUAAGUAGAUCUUACCUAGUUGAACACAUCCAAAAAUCAUUAAAAAAAUUACAAAAGAUGUAUGACAUGAUUUGGAACAAAACUCAUGAAGAAAAUUUUCUCAAAAAAUGAUCAUGAAAGUCGGCACAAAAUAACAAAGUCAGAAGGCGGAACCGGGAAAAAAGAAAAACCUAAACUACUGUAGAAUCGUUAAUCUUUGGAGGUAUUUUUGGAGGGCCAAACGAUGGUCAUUUUGGACAUGCGACAUAUUAUUUCGAAGCUCGGGAUGUCUGCUAUUUAAUCCUAAGAGGACUUGAGUUGAAACGAUGUCGUUUUGGACCUUGUUUUGGCCAAAAUAAUAACCUAUAUACAGGCCUACGAAAAUAAAUAUUAGGCUUAAAUCACAAUCAUUCAAAUCAUUAACAACUCAAUGCAGCAUUUAUACUCAUCAAUCUUAAACAUGUAAAAGCUCAUAAUCUUGAAUCCUAGCCCCGAUCAACUAACUCGAUCUCGCUUCAUUGGAUUCAAGUUUUGAAUUGUUACCUUUUUUGCAAUUUUCGUCGGUUUCUAUCACAAUUAGUCAGAUCAAAUCACCGGAUCAUGAUCAGGACUCCAAGAACGUAAAUCAAGUCACUAUAGCUUGGAUCGGGAUCAAUCGAACCACCGACUCAAGAAAAAAAUAAAGAAUCAGUCCAAGAGAUGAACUAAAACUGAGAGAGAGAGAGAGAGAGAGAGAGAGAGAGAAAAAGAAAGAGAUUGAGCUGUUUGGGUAGGGUUUUGGAGGGAGAAAUGAGAGAGGGAGUCUGAGGAGAGAGAAAAAAUUCAUGCAAAUAAAGCCCCUUCUUUUGAACAUAGAAGAGAUUUCACUUAUAUACUCACACAUUAAGCAAUUUUGGCUGUCGGUUUGACCGUACGACCAAAAUCUCGAUCCAACGGUCAAAAAUCCAUUUUGAAGGCUUGAGGUGUCAUGUAAUUAAUUUAGUGGGUUUGAUUUGCAAAAAAAUCCAUCCAAAAUCAAUAAUUAUGUCAAAAUGUCUAAUUAUGGGUUAAUUUGCAAUUUGACGAAAUUCAAUGACCAAUUUAUAAAUGUUUGGGAAAUUGAAGGUGUAUAAGUGAAAUUGGGAGUGAGAGGAUUCCAAAACCGAUGGCUAGAGGCCUAGAAUCAGUCGGAAAGGGCCUGAACCGACCAAUCCCGCCGGCGGCUAGUCAGACCUGCCGGACCAGUUUGGUCUAGUUCGGCCGGAUUUUGACCAAUGCUUGACCGAUUUGGUCAAAUUCCUGGUGUUUUGUCCACUUGGGACCCUUGUGGGUCAAACAUUUAUGUAAUUUGACCCCUAAAGGACCUAGUUGAAAAGGAAUUUUAUCCCUUUUUAUGAAGAAAUGGACCAAUUAAGAUACAAUUAAGCUAAUCAAACCUUAUGAACAUGAUCUAGGGGUCUAUUAUUGACCUAAUUGAAUGAUGAUCGUUGAAAAAAAUGAGUCGAAACCAUGGGUGCUUUGAAUUGGGCCUAAAGGGCUAAAAUGGUAAAAAAAUAGUAAAAAUUGCAAUUCAAUGGGCAAAAUUACAAAUUAACUAAAAUUAAACUCAAUUAGUGUCACAAUUGCCCUAUCUAAUGAGCUACUCAUAGGUAAGAUCACUAACCACAUUCAAAUUGACCCUAAAUUAAAGUGCUCGAGCUUAGGUCAAAAAUGCAUCUAGGCCUAAUAUUAAAAUUGGAUCUAGAUUUAUGAAAUUAAACCAUAGUCAUGAAUGGGUCAAUUCAAAUUUCAUCAAUUGAAGCUUAAUUGCUUGACUUUAUAAUGCUUGGGAUGAUAAAAAUCUUCAAAUUGAUGAGUUCUUGUGUGAAUUUCACAAAACAAUCUCAAAUUUGGACUUAUCUUAAGAAAAUGAGUGAGAAAUAAUUGUCCGUUCGCAAGUCAUGAAGGAUCGAUUUUGGUCCCCUAAUUAUGGCUUAAAAUGGCAAUUUGUAUUUUAACUCAAUAAAUCGCGAAAUUGAAUGCUCAAACUGAUUUCAAAUAAUCCCUAAACCAAAUGUCAAAGAAAGAACUACACCUAAUUAUGACUAGAAUAAAAUUAAUUUCAUUUUUGGUUGAUUUAAAACCUAAAACUAAAAAAAUUAUAAAUUAAGGUUCUUAAUCGAAUUUUGUGAAUUUUUUUACACAAAAGUCAAAUUGGCAUUAGAAGAAAUAUAUUUGUGCAUUUUUAUUUUUUAUUUUUUUGGGUCAAAUGUUUGACCAAAAGUCAACCAUUUAGGGCGCGCAUAAUAAAAUUUAUAUUUCUCGAUUUCUCUGUUUCUCUGUUACCCGGAACAGGUUUGGAAUAGAAAUCCGUUUGGUAACACAAUUUGAUUUUUCUAUUUCUGAAACAGAUUUCUAUUCUAAAAAUAGAUAAAUUGAAGAAAUCAGAAGCUGAAAUUUUUAACUUCUCAGUUUCUGAUUUCAGAAAUUGAAAUCAAACCAUAUAAAAGAACCUUAUGCUUUCUUGCUAACUUAAUUCACUUAUAACCAUAACUUCACAAAUUAUUGUUAAUUUCUUUUUCUUAUUUUGCUUGUGUUUUUUUUUUUUUGCAUUUUUUUUUCAAUUUUUUUUUUUAUAACUUCCUCUUUAGGAUGAAAGGCAAUUGAAUGGGUCCUCAAUUUUCAAAAAUGACCAAAGUUCUUAAAUGCUUACUUAAAAACAAUGGGGCUCUUUCCUCCUAGAAAAGGCAUAUGACCAGUUGAAGAAAAAGUUCUUACGUAAUAGAUGAAUAAAAAAAGUGCCUAGAAAUUUAACCUUAUUUUUUUAAGGAUUCAAAAUUCUUGCAAAAUCAAAAUAAUUAGAUUGUUACACAAUCUUGAAUUUUAAUUCGAAGGCAAGAGAUUCAAGAGCUCUCUUUGCUAUGCAAGAGCCAUUAAAGGUUCAUUGAGCAACAAUAAAGAAAUUAGGGAUGAGCAACUGAACUGAUUCAAUUCGAGAAUCAAAAUAAAUUUACAUUCCCCCGAUUGGUUCCUAACCAUAAAUGUUACUUUAAGGUAGAAUUCUUUAUAUUCCUUUACAUUAUUAAAUUUAUUUUGUUGAUAAUCUUGUAUAAUACUAGUUUUUUAUAAAAUGACAAUGUUAUAUAGGAGGCCAUUGAUGGCACCUAUAUUCAUGCUUCCACAAUACUUGUUUGAACUUACGCAGGAUGAGCUUGCAAACAAUACAUUGACCGAGGAGGGAAACCAAAUAAAUACGCUUAGGAAAACAAUUGCUAAUAAAAUGGCAAUGGAUAACAAUAUGCCGGAAAUUCCAUGAAUUUUUUUUUCAACUUUUGUAAUGUAUUAGUAUUAUUUCAACUAUUAUUUUAUAUUUGAGGAUUUCCUAUGUUGUUUUAGUAUUAUUUUGACUAUUAUUUUGUAUUUGAGGUUUUCGUAUGUUGUUAUCUAAUCAAUUUAUAUUCCUGGAAAUAGAAAUUUUGAGUCGUUAUCAAACGGGUUUCUUUGCUCAGAAACUUAUCCGGGGAAUAGAAAUUAAGAAAUUGAUUUUUGGCCAGAAAUCAAUUUAUGUUUUAGAAAUUUUGUCAUGCGCAGCCUUAGUUGACUUUUCCUAAAAUGUUGAUUUUUUUUAUCAAAUUUUUGAAUUUUCAAGAAAUUGAUUUGAAAAAAGUGAAAUAAAAGCUAAGUAGAAUUUUUUUUUUGGGGCAAAAAGUCAAUUUUUGACCCGGGGUUGACUUUUGGUCAAGGGUUGACCAAAAAGUCAACCUAAAGUCAAUGGUUUGACUUUUCGGGUUUUUCAUGAAAACAAGCUAAAAACUGCUUAAAAACGACAAUGUAAAAGAAAGAAAUGAAAAACGACAUUUUUUUUGUCGAGAGAUACGGUUUCGUCUCGAUCAGAAACUUAAAUCUUGAUUUUUUAUGUUUUAAUGAUAUGUAAACUAAAAAUUAGGUGUCAACAAUGCCAGACAAGCAAUAGGUUUUGCAUUGCCACUGCUGCCACCCCAUUAUCGUUGGAAAGGGCCUAGGUUGCUAGGCCCUAGCCAGUGGCCAUCGACCCUGGCAAACCGUAGGUAAGGGCCUGCAAGCCCUUGCCCAAAACUGGUGUGAGGACUAGUUGGCCCUCUCGUAGAGGCAACCCUCACCUGGAGGGGCCAAGGGCUCCCAAAACUACGUGCUACUUUUUUCUUUUGGUUUUUUCCAAUUUAAUUUAAUUAAUAUUUAUAUUAAAAUUCAAAUUUGAAGGCACAAGCUAGCCACAUUAGUGCCACGUGAAUUUCCAACGAGCUACAUAGAUCGGUUUUAUUUUUAAAAUAAUGCCACAUCGGGUUUCUAACUAGCCUCGUCAGACUUCGCAAUUAAGUAUCCAAUUUUUUUUUUAAGUGAUACUUAAAUGUACCUUUUUGAAAAUUUUGGCACUUAAAUGUCUACCCAUACUAAGUUUUGACACUUGUGAUGUACUAUUGCUUGAAAAAGCCAAAGAGGAGUCAUGCUCGGAGAGGAAGGGUUUCUUUUCAUUCACUAGGUCCAAGUCUCACCAUGUUUGGAUAUGCCAAUUUCCAUUUUAGGGUUUCAUAGAUUCCUGAUCUAGUUCUUCAGUUCUUAAUUCCUAGUCCAGUUCGAUUCGAUUCUUGCUCGAGAAUCAAACUGCAUAAUACAUGUUUAAAACAAUAAGGAAUUAGGAAUUGGACCGAGUCAUCCAAAACUUGGAAUUAGAACGAUCCCCUAGUUCUCUAAUUCUCUCUUCUACCAUUAAAUUAUGCUCACUUCUAAUCUCAACAUACAUUGCCAUUUUCUAUUAUGUGCAUUGAUUCUAGACUUAGCAUCAUCAUAACUCUUUGGAUCAUUUACUAAAUUAAUCCCGUUAGUGGUCCAAAGACUUUUCUUAUUCUUUCUAUUGUUAAAUACUAUACAUACUUUGCCAACUAAAUUUGCUUUAUAAGUUCAUGUGGCAAAUUCCUCUUGAGUGAUUAGAUGCUUAAAAAACUUUUGAAUUCUAACAUUAGAAAUCAAGUUCUAAACAGCAAUAAACUAAUAGAUAAGAGCUAAAAGACAAGAUAACUACUAGAUAAUUUAAAACUGUCAGAAAAUAAAUUGAACUAACCGAUAAUUUAUUUUUUUUGUUGAGGAAUUUGAAAUAUACCUUGACAGCUAAUUAUAGGGAAAAUUACCAAAAAAAUAAUAAUCAUGGCCAAUUUUGUCCUAUACCUUUAAGAGAAUUUGAAGUGUUCAGCAUUAAGAUAAUAAACAAAACUACAAUAUGGUCUACAAUAGAUCUAUCAAAUUGGUAGAUCAGGUUAGGUUGAAAAAUUAUUUGACCCAAAAUGACCUAUUUAAUUUUCUUUUUACUAAUUUCUAUACAUUAUUAAAACACUUCUAUAGUUAAUCCAAUCUAGAAAAACUCGUACUUAAACUAAGAUGAGAACAUGAAGUGAGCGAGCGUGAGAUCAAGUAAAAGACAAGAAAGUAAAGAGAGGGGGUAAGUAUACUAUCAGUGCCAAAACUUGUGUAUGGUGCUCAUUUUGAUGCCAAAAGUUUCAAUCGGAUCACUUAAGUGCCAAAACUUUUGAAAAACGAUCAUUUCAAUGCAAACGCUAAUUUGGUUGGCCGGAAAUCUGACAUGGCACUUUUUUAUUAAUUUUUGAAGCUAAUGUGGCUCGCCGGAGAGUACAAUCAACAUUUAAACAACAAAAUGACGUUGUUUGGUGUCUCUCCCCCAAUUCAAAACCCUAAACCCUAAAUUUUCCGGAUAAUCUCGGCCACCGUUGCUCUCUUCAUCCUCUUCUCCUCCCUUACUGUCCUCUCUGUCGCCGGCCAUGGUGCCACUAAGCACCGCCACCUCCUCUACUGCCUCGACGAGUUCAGCGAUCGUGACGAGCAAGUCACCGUCAAACCCUCCACCUCCUUCGAGAACCCACGCCUCCGCAAUGCCUACGUUGCCCUCCAGGCCCUGAAGCAGGCCAUCCUCUCUAACCCCAACAACUUCAUCGCCAACCGGGUCGGCCCUAACGUCUACGGCUACUCCAAUGUCUUCUGCUCCCCCUCCCCCGAUGACCCCCGGCGUCUACAUCGUCGCUGGCGUCGACCUCAACCUAGCGACAUCACUGGGUACCUCCCCAAGGAGCUCGGCCUGCUCGCCGACCUCGCGCUCUUCCACCUCAACUCCAACCGCUUCUGUGGCAACAUGCUGCAGAAGUUUCGGAACUUGAAGCGACUCUUUGAGCUGGAUCUGAGCAACAACCGUUUCACGGGAAGUUCCCGAGGGUCAUGCUGGAGUUCGACGGGUCGAUCCCGCGGGAGCUCUUCAACAAGGAUCUAGACGCUAUUUUCAUCAAUGACAACCGGUUCUGGUUCAACCUGCCGAAUAAUCUCGGCCACUCCCUGGUGUUGUUUUAAACAUUAUGAUGGUUUUCCCUCCUCCUCCCCCUUCAAUUGCCCACAUCCCUCGCCUCCGUUUUCACCAGCGAUGGGCCAGUUGCCGUCCUCGACAGCCCCCGCGCUUGGCAACUGCAGCUUCGACCCCAACCUCAACCUCAACGACGGCCACUUGGUGGCCAAGUCGAAGGCCGUGGUCUUACUCAAGUGCGAACCUCACAUUGCCUAGAGAUGGCGACCGACCGAGCUAGGUUGGCGUUAGACGAGAAUCGGACAAAAAACCCUAAUUUCAAUCCCUAAAAAAAAAAAAAUCCCCUAGUGAGUUGUGCGGCGACGUUUUUGUGAGGCCAUUCACUUAGGAUGGCAAAACAACUUCGUUUUCUUAAAGAGGACGGAAAACGACGUCGUUUAAAAGCCAUGUAAAAUUUUUUAAAAAAAUAUAAAUGUCACGUAAUCAUUUUGGCCGGAAUCUAUCGCCGAUGGCACCAAAAUGAUCAUUUUUCCUCCGAUUUGGCACUUAAGUGAUCCGAUUGAAACUUUUGGCACCAAAGUGAAUGCCGUACACAAGUUUUGGCACUGAUAGCGUACUUACCCCGUAAAGAGAGAAUCAUAGAGGUGGAUUGAGUUUAAAUAGGUCGUGAACUAGUAUUACACUAUAGACCUUAUCAUUCUAAACUCAUUCAUGAAUAUAACUAACCUAUAUUACAACUCAACCCAUCAAAUAUAAGUUGAUCCAUUUUGAUAGAUCUAAUUGAUGGCUAAGAUUAUGAUUAUUUAGAUGCUUGCCAUCAUCAAAUCAAGAUGGUGAUCACUUUGAAGAUAACCGUCGGCCCUAUUCCUUUCUCAAUUGGAUUCUUUCUCUCCUACUUGGAUAUGAGAAAUUUUAUCUGACCCAACACCAUAACUUUUAUUUCGAUCUAUAUUCACAUUAAGUCUGCAUUUAUUAUGGUGUGAUAAUUAAGGACUUGAUGCAAUCAUUUAUAUUUUCUAAUCAAAUAAAGUCUUCUUCUUUAUGUGUCCAUAUAAUCAACAAAAUCAAAAUAGAAAUUUCAUGCCCGUUGCUUCCGACUUUCACCUUGCAAUUCCUUCAAAUCACAUGGGCCCGACCAUUGGCCUUAACCUCCAAGGCCAAACCCAAAAGAAAAAUUGUUGAACCUAAGUAGGCCCAUUAGGCAUGGGCUUGACUAGGCCUAAACCAUAAAUAUGCAAUACAGCCUGUCAUCUCACAAGGCUAUGCUUAGGUAUGGGCCGAACAACUAGACUUGCCCCUAAAGGCCCAAUCCCAAAAAUAAAAAAAAAAUAAAAUAUAAAAUUAUUUGACCUAGAUUGGUCCAUGGGUCUGGUCAAGCCUAGGCACAAUGCAUGACACAGCCUGCCAUCUAAUGGGUAAUGCCCUAUCAUGAGACACGGCCUAUUACUUAUCCCUAUCCAUAAGAAAAUAAGUUGGAUCCACGUAAAUUCAUUCAUUCAAGACAAAUUUACUUCAUAUCCCUUCGCAUUUCAUUAACACUACCAAUCAACAAAAUGCUCGAACACAGAACGCUCCAGACAAAAAGACAAUGAUGACAUGUCAAAGUAGAUUUUCCAUGAAUUUAUGAUCUUGAAAAUUGUAAUAUGUACGGACACUAUGGAUCGCUCUAGGGAUUGUGAUAACCCAAUUCGUUGAUCAAAAUCAAUAAUAUCCUUAUUGAAGAAAACUUCAGCUACACACUACAACUUCCCUUGACAUUCAGUAGCAACCGAUCCGGAGACAUAGGCAGCCUUGCUGCGAAGCCAGGGACUCCUCAUCCAUCCUCAAAGUUGAGCGCAUAGCUCAUCAUAUCAUACCCAAACUCUAAGGUUGUGAUGUGGCCUUGCUUUUGGCACCUCUUGAUCCGAGUGACGAGGCUUCGGAGGUUGUAUUGGAUCUCCGAUAGUGGGAGCUCUCGAGCCGUGGAGUAGAGCCGCAAGCAAGGCGACUGGGCCGCCCCAUGGUAGCAGCCAUCAUUGUCACCGUCAUUAUUGUAGUUUGAGGAGGCGGCCUCAUUAUGGAUAGUGGCGUCUAGAAAGCAGCAGAAGUGGAGGCGCAGGGAGGAUGAUUUGAGCUCGUGAUUGAACAACAUUGGGUUGUGUGGAGAGAGAAAGAGGGGAGAGGGAGUCGCGGGGGGGGGGGGAGGGAGGAUGAGGUGGCGGGUUUUUAUAGGGUGGACGGGAUAAGGAGGAAGGGGAAAGUGGGGUGGGGGGGGGGGACAUGGUGUUUUGAGUGAAUCCCUCUAUGAUGUUUCGUCUUGUUUUUGCCUAACUGCAUUUUUUAUGUAAUUUGGUAACUAUGCAAAAGUUGAGGGAUCAUGUAGCUGCUCAUUUUUCCUUCUCUACACCGCGUUAUUUCCUCCCCUUAAAUGUUUAAAUCUAACUUAUUGCUAUUAGAAAAAAAAAAUCGCCCCUAAUCAUUCAAUUACAUUUUAUAAGUGGUGGCCCCCAAAUUUUGCUUUCCUUUCCUUUUAACUUUGCUGUUUUUAUGUAGGAUUUUGUUACCAUAGAGACAAAGCUUCCAUGUAUAUUAGGGGUACACUUUUUUAAUUGUUAGAUUUUAUUUCCAUAAAAAUUAGUUUUGUCGAAAAGAGAAAUCCCUAAAAAAAAUUAUUUCCUUUCUACGUUGUUGCUCAAAUUUAUGAAUAAAUUGUCUAGUAAAAUCUAGAAAUAAAUUAAGGGUGGCAUUAUUUUCACUCUCUAAAAAACUUAACCCACCUACACUAAAAAGAAAAAAUUGUCCUCAAUUUUUCAAUUGCAGUUUUAGAUGAUGGCUUAUUUCGCCUUGUGUCUAUUUCACCUUAGGUGGUUGGUUCACAAGUACAACCUUUGUAACUUCAUGGUAUACCCAUGGAUUGGCCAGUUCCUAUUUGGAAGGAUGCAACUUCUUAACUGCCUCUAUUUCUACUCCUGCUAAUAGUUUAGCACAUUCUUUGUUGUUACUAUGGGGUCCUAAGGUACAAGGAGAUUUUACUCGUUGGUGUCAAUUAGGCAGUUUGUGGACUUUUGUGGCUCUCCAAGCACUUUCAGACUAAUAGAUUUCAUGUUACCCCAAUUUGAACUUGCUCGAUCUGUUCAAUUGCAACCUUAUAAUGCAAUCGCAUUCUCUAGUCCAAUUGUUGUUUUUGUUUCUGUAUUCCUAAUUUAUCCACUAGGUUAGUCUAAUUGGUUCUUUGCGCCUAGUUUUGGUGUAGCAGCUAUAUUUCGCAUCAUUCUUUUUUUUCCAGGGGUUUCAUAAUUGGACAUUAAACCCAUUUCAUAUGAUGGGAGUUGCCGAUGUGUUGGGCGCUGCUCUCCUAUGUGCUAUUCAUGGUGCUACCGUAGAAAAUACUUUAUUUGAAGAUGGUGAUGGUGCAAAUACAUUCCAUGCUUUUAACCCCAACUCAAGCUGAAGAAACUUAUUAAUGGUCACCGCUAAUCGCUUUUGGUCCCAAAUCUUUGGGUUGAUUUUUCCAAUAAACGUUGGUUACAUUUCUUUAUGUUAUUUGUACUAGUAAUUGGUUUAUGGAUGAGUGCUCUUGGAGUAGUCGGUCUAGCUCUGAACCUACAUGCAGCAGAAGAUCCUGAAUUUGAAACUUUCUACACCAAAAGUAUUAUCUUAAAUGAAGGUAUUCGUGCUUGGAUGGUGGCUCAAGAUUAGCCUCAUGAAAACUUUAUAUUCCCUGAGGAGGUUCUACCCUGUGGAAACGCUCUUUAAUGGAACUUUAGCUUUAGCUAGUUGUGAGAAACCACCGGUUUCGCUUGGUGGGCCGAGAACGCACGACUUAUCAAUUUAUCUGGUAAACUGUUGGGGGCUCAUGUAGCCCGUGCCGUAUUAAUCGUAUUCUAGGUUGGAGCAAUGAACCUAUUUGAAGUGGCUCAUUUUGUACCAAAAAAGCCCAUAUAUGAACAAGGAUUAAUUUUACUUCCCCACUUAGCUACUCUAGGUUGGGGGGUAGGUCCGGGUGGGGAAGUUAUAGACAUCUUUCCAUAUUUUGUAUCCGGAGUACUUCACUUAACUUCGUCUGCAGUAUUAGGCUUUGGCAGUAUUUAUCAUGCACUUCUGGGCCUUGAGACUCUUGAAGAAUCUUUUCUAUUCUUUGGUUAUGUAUGGAAAGAUAGAAAUAAAAUGACCGCAAUUUUGGGUAUUCACUUAAUCUUGUUAGGUAUAGGUGCUUUUCUUCUAGUAUUCAAGGCUCUUUAUUUUGGAGGCGUAUAUGAUACCUGGGCUCCAGGAGGGGGAGAUGUAAGAAAAAUUAUCAACUUGACCCUUAGCCCAAGUGUUAUAUUUGGUUAUUUACUAAAAUCAUUUUUUUGAGGAGAAUGAUUGAUUGUUAGUGUGGACGAUUUGGAAGAAAAAAUUGGAGGGCAUGUAUGGUUAGGUUCCAUUUGUAUACUUGGCGGAAUCUAGCGUAUCUUAACCAAACCUUUUGCAUGGAAUUGUCGAGCACUUGUAUGGUCUGGGGAGGCUUACUUGUCUUAUAGUUUAGCUACUUUAUCUAUUUUUGGUUUCAUUGCUUGUUGCUUUGUCAGGUUCAAUAAUAUCGCUUAUCCUAGUGAAUUUUACGGGCCUACUGGGUCAAUAGCUUCUCAUGCUCAGGCAUUUACUUCUCUAGUUAGAGACCAACGUCUUGGGGCUAACAUGGGAUCCACUCAAGGACCUACUAGUUUAGGUAAUUACCUAAUGUGUUCCCCGACUGGAGAAGUAAUCUUUGGAGGGGAAACUGGGAUCUACGUGCUCCUUGGUUAGAAUCUCUAAGGGGUCUAACUUCUUCUUUUUUCUAUUUUUUUUCUUUUUCUAUCUUGGAUAGUUGCCAUAAUUAAAAAUUUCACAUGUUUUGUUUUUUAGAUUAGAUAUUCCUAUAUUGUUUUACAUGCUCCGUGUAAAAUUAUCUUGCUAAUAGUAAUGAAAAAAGAAGAAGCAUUAUUUGAUAUGGUAUAAAAUUGAAAAGUAGCAAGGAAAAAAAACAUUAUUUGAUAUAGUAUAAAAUUGAAAAGUCUCUUCUUCAUUAUUGAUCUUAUAACAACUUAUCUAUUUCUUUUGUUCCUUUUAUAUCAAAAACUCACUUUCUUGAUGAAAUUUUUAUUAAUUUCAUUAGUAUAAAAAAUAUGUCAGCUCUCUUAUUUACUAUAUCAAAGUACUUAUAUUUUUUCCUGACUAUAUUGGCGAGAUACCCUUAUAUAUAAUGAGGCAUCUAAAUAAUUUUUCAUAAACAGUUUAUUGAUGAUAUUAAUUUCUAUCAAUCUAAAAUAAAGAAAUUUCACUGGUAUUUUCAAAAAAAAAAAAUCUUACUUUAUGCAAUGUUUUGAUUUAAUUAAAUUUUUUACUUAACAAUUUAUCCACAAAUUUAAUUGACAAUAUAGAAAAGAAAUAGAUUUCUUGGAAAUUUCUCUUUUUGACACAAUUUUUUUUUAUUGAAGUAAUUUCUAACAAUAAAAGAAGCCAAUAGUGCCUCUAAUAUAUAUGGAAAAUCUACAAUAAACAAAAAUUAAACAUGUGCAAUUCUUAAUUAUGGUAGGUAGAUCCUCCAUAAGUAUAGAAAAACUUGUAAUUAAAUGAUAGAGGGUAAUUUUGUUAUUUUGGUGAAAAUUGGGUGAAUUUUAAACUCUCUCUCUCUUUCUCUCUCUCUCACACACAUAGUGGAAUGAUCAGAUGAAGCCAAAAAGAAAAAUUCUUUGAUGAUUAUUCAAAAUAAAAUCACAAUUAUGUUCUCUAACAUAAAACAUGUCGGGCCAAUAUACAAUUCACAAAAUAAACCAAACUAAGGACAUGUUUGCUAAUUUUUCUGUUUUCAGGCAUAAUUUCAUUUCAAAAUCUAUUUCAGAGACUGUUAAUUGCUCAACUUGUGGAACAAAAUAAACCAAACUAAUGAUCAGAUCAACCAUCCAGACAAAAGGCGAAAGCAAAGCGAAGACGACGAAAACAUAUCGAAGCAGAUCUUCCAUAAAAUUGAGAUCUCGAAGUUCUACAAAUAUGUACAGACACUGCGAAUUGCUCUAGAGACUGUUGAUAUAAGCCCAACUUAGUGGAUCAAAAUUCCGGAGGAAAACAACUUCAACAACAAGCUACGACUUCCCUCGGUAACCUCGCCGGCAUCAACCGAUCCGGAGACACCGGCAGCCGCGCCGAGAAGUUCCUCAUUGAGAACUCCUCGUCUGACUCUCGGCUCAAAUCGUCAUCGAAGUUUAGCGCGUAGUUCAUCGGGUCAUACCCGAACUCCGAGGAGGCCGCCGCCGCCGCGUGGCCCGGCCUCCACCGGCACCUCCCGAUCCGAGCGAUGAGGCUGCGGCACCUGUACCGGAUCUCCGGCAGCAGGAGCUCCUGGGCCGUCGAGCGGACCUUGCGUGGGUGGCCGUCGUCACAGUCCGAGGAGGCGGCCUCGUGGUAGGCAGCGGCAUGGCCGCCGUCGUGGAAGCAUGAGAAGAGGAGGGACGGGGAGGAUGAUCAGAGCUUGUGAUGGAAGAGCAUUUCGACGGCGAGAGCGAUGGGACUCGGAUUCUUGGUCUGGUCUGUGCAAGGCCGUGAAGACAGCGGAGAGAGUGGAUGGAGAUGAGGAAGAAGAUGGAGAAGAGGAUGAGGUGGAGGGUUUAUUUAUAGGUCGGGCGGAAGAGGACGGAGGCGUGCGGCGG
RNAcentral lists this long non-coding RNA (69710 nucleotides) under Eucalyptus grandis. RNAcentral describes it as "long non-coding RNA (EGRA_LNC001504)". The record is from RNAcentral. Lineage: Eukaryota; Viridiplantae; Streptophyta; Magnoliopsida; Myrtales; Myrtaceae.